AGGAUGUGAAUGACUCAGAAGUGAAAUUUGCUGCAGGGCAAGCAGUUAAAAUCCAUAACGAUCAAAAACACGAUACAUUGGUUUUCAUUCGUGUAGUGAAUGGUCUGAAGCAGGAAGUUGAUACUGCCAAGCUGUAUUCUCUUCUGAUAGAAGCUACAAAUGGUGAUGGAACUCAUUGGGGAUAUAUCGCUAAGAUUAAGUUGUGGCCUAAGGCCCCAAGUCAUUAUGAUCCAUAUUCCCAUACCUUUGAGCUCAUAUCUUGGGAAGAUCCCCUCAAAUUCUGGAACUAAGUAUUCCAAUGUUAUCUUUUUACAUCUUUACAUCUUUACAUCUUUACAUCAUAAUAAUAUGUCCUUCUCUAUAUAUAGAGAGAGGGCAUUAUUGUCUUCCAACUACUAUAUGAAAAUGGUAUAGCCUUGAUUAAAUAGUGAUACACAUAAUCUAUUUCUAUAUAGUAUAUGUGUGUCCAUAUAUAUAUGUUUAACUUUUUCUCUUCUCUCUCCCAUCUAUGUUCUAUGUAUGUAAAGAGUUUAAAUAAGACUAAAUCAUUAAAUAGUCAAUUUUACUUUAUAAUUUGUCGUUUACUGUUUUAAACUGAUUAUUUCGUUUUAUUUAUGACAUGGGUAACUUAAGGUGUGUUUGGAUUAUCUUUUAAAGUGUUUAAAUUUGAAAAAAAAAAUUAAAAAUUUGAGGUGUUUGGUAACUUUUCAAAAUGUAUUUUUAAAAAAUGAGAUUGAAAAAUAAUUCAUUUUAAAGAAAAUGCUCAAAACCAAAUUUUGAGAAAACUAUGUAUAUAAACUCUUAUAAAAGGAUAGAACCAAACAUGUAAAUAUUUAAAUUUUAAACUCAUUUUAAGGAAAGUGUUUAAAAAUAAUGUAUUCUUGAAAAAUAUUUUUUUUCCAUAGGUAAACCAAACGCACUCUUAAUCUUAAUUUUAACUUAAUGAAUAAGAUGUAAUUUCGAGGGUAAAACGAUAACCUUGACUUAGCCGAUAUUUCGAAUAACCUGUAAAAGAUUAACUUACUAAUCAUAGUUAUUUCAAAUGGACACAAAUAUAUCUAUAGUAAAGGAACUGAAACUAAGAAAUUUUAAUGGAAUGAUCUAGUUAGUUAACGAAUGUUAAUUAGCUUAUUCUAAAAGAAUUUAGCUAGUUAAUCUCGAAUCGAUGAAGCUCGUGAUCUAUAGGUUUAAUAGGUUCCCUAAUAGCUCAUAUGGAAUAAACUUAGAACAAUAUGAUUGAAUAAUUUGAAUUGUUCAAAUUGGAAAAUGAGAGAAAAAUUGACAAGUAUAUGUGAUAUAGCAAUCAGUCACUACUAGAAAACUGAGAUUUAACAACACAAAAUAUGUGUCAUAAACGGUUUUCAUGUCACAUAUUUUGCAUCUUUGAAGUGCUUGUAAAGAUAGGACAUUUACUGACGCAUCCUAAAAAGUGUCAUUAAUAUUGCUUAAAACGAUAUUGAUUUAACGCCAAUAAUCAAUUUCUCUUGACAUUUACCACCUAUGACUAUUAAUUGGAUUAUGAAACAAUGAAAUUGUCAUUGUUAGUCUCAAAUGAUCAAAUAUUGCGUCUAUUUUCUAUAUUAGGGCUACAGGUUUAAUUUGAGAGAGAGAGGGAAGGUUGAGUUUGAGUUGAGAGAAGAGAGAAAUGUCAUUCACUGGAGAAUUCUGGGCAAGAUGCAUUCAUAGAGGGCUAUAGAACUCGUUUCUUGGAUUUUUUUUUUUAAAAAAAUUGAGGUAUGAAAGUUAAGACAUUUUCCAGCAACUUUGUACAAGAAAGUAUUUUCAUUUGAGUUUUUCAUUUUAAGAUAUUGGCUUAUAAAUUAUAGUUAAGGUUUUAGCCAAAAAUGAGUUUUUGGACAGUAGAGGUUGUUAGUCGAAUGUCAGAGGUUGUUAGACAAGAUGGACAUGUGUUUUGGGUUAAAAGAGGUUAGCGUUGCGUUUAGGCUGGUGUUUGGCACACAGUCUGUGUACAACGGGCGUGCAGCUAAGGAAGCACACAAGGAAGGCUAUGUGAGACGCUGACACACGACCAGGUGAGGUACCCACGUGUUUAUGGGUGAGGUUAACACGCGGGCAUGCCUAGCGCGAACGAAUCGAAACUCCAGUUUCUAUAGUUUUAAAUCAAGAUCCACGAUCUACUUAAAAAAUUUGGCCAAAGUUAUAGGAAGCCUUAGAAACCAAAAUAAUUUUAGCACCACAUUUCAUCCAUAGACAGUGGCCAAUCUAAAAGAACUAUUCAGGCAUUAGAGGACAUGUUAAGACCUUGUGUUCUAUAGUUCAAAGGGAGCUAGGAUGAUUGAUUGUCCUUGAUUGAGUUUGUCUAUAACAACAACCCCUUUUAAGGCGUUGUAUGGGAGGCGUUGUAGAACUUCAAUACGCUAGAAAGAAGUGGGCGAGAGGAAGCUCUACAGUCUAGAGUUAGUCUAGGCCAUAACGAAAAACAUCAAAUUAAUUAGAUAAAAUUUAAAAAAUUUCCGCGAUAAGUAGAAGUGCUAUGUGGAUAAUUGUCGUAAAGCAUUGGAAUUCAAGGUUGGGGAUAAAGUUUUUCUAAAAUUAUCACCUUGGAAGGAUGUGAUCAGGUUAUAUUAGUCCACGUUAUAUUAGUCCUUAUGAGAUUCUAGCAAGCGUAGGACCAAUGACUUAUAAGCUAAGAUUGCCUGCAAAACUAUCUAGGAUUCAUAAUUUCUUUCACAUCUCCAUGUUGAGGAAGUAUGUAUCAAACUACUCGCACAUACUCUAAACUUUUGAAGUAAAAUAAAACUUGAACUACGAAGAAAGGCCUUUGUGUAUAAUGGACAAAAAGGAACAAGUCUUGAGAACAAAGGUGAUCCCCAUGGUCAAAAUUUUGCGAGACAACCAUGGCGUUGAAGAAUCUACUUGAGAAAGUGGGGAGCUAAUAAAAACCAAGUACCCACAACUUUUCGUACAAACUCACUGAAUUUCAAAGACGAAAUUUCAAUAAGGAGGUAGUACUUGUGAGACCAUAAACGUGUUUAGAUCUAUAUGAUGAGAUUAAAGCGAAAGAAACAAGUAAUGCAAUGAGAUGGGUACUAAUAAAGAACUCACGUGUUAUGAUGAGGUACGCGAUGAAAAAACGAUAUUGGGAUCUCCAAAACCUUUUAUAAAGACCUUGCUUGUUUAUUCUUUCCUCGCAUUGUGAUCUCCAAAACGUCAAGUAUCAAAACGCUCUCUUUUAUAAAAACUUCUUUUUUCAAAAUCCUUCACUUAGAUUUUUCUUUCUCAAAAUGACCCUUCUACUCAGGCACAAGUCUCACAUUCUAGGUUCUUUAGUUUUUUAAAAUAGGUUUGAGAGGUCCUUUAAUUAAUUUUUAUUUUAUUUUUAGUACUAGAAAGGCACCCAAGUUUUAGAAGGGUGUGGGAUAAACAAAUCUGGAUUUGUUGGUGUUUCUACGUCACUCGGCUUGGCAAGGAAUGGAGAGGAAUAAAAUAGUAAUAUACUUUUAUUAAAUAUGUAUUUUUUUAACUUAAAAUGUUUGUCCUUAUAUCCAACACUUUAUUUUCAAUUAAAACAACUUUAUUAUUCCUUAAUUAAUUAAAAAUUCGUUUCCAAAAUGAUUUUCUUAUCCAUUGAGGGGAGUUACAUAUGAUGAUCGUUAAGGCAUUACAUGAUUGAGACGUUAUCACAAAACUCACUCUAGAUAAGAGCUUGCCAAUAUAUGUUCUUCUUCGUUAUUUGCGUUUUUCGAGAAAAUCAAAUUAAAGAGUGUUUGGUAUUUCGAUCAAUUAUUCUAGUGUAGCUCUAAUUGAGUUGGUUGUUGUUUUAUCAUAGAGCGUCAUGACAUUUUUUGAAUUGUUUGCACUCUUAGCAGAGUUGCAAAAUGUCUUAAAGAAAGUCUGAUUCGUGACUUCAACCUUCUUCUUAAUUACUAUUUUCUUUUUUGCAAUAUUUUAGAAGCAUGCUCUAGAUGUCCAAACUUCCACUGGAAGAGCACCCAAUGUCAUUAACCUAGGCGAACAAAUAAUUACUAGGCGGUAAGAUUACCAAGGGACCAAAAUCCAAACUAUUAGAUUUCAACCAUUCUGUCAUAGGCUUCCAUAUUCAAGCUCCUACCUUCACUUCGAAAGCAUUGUUCCCAAGAACAGUUUCAACCAUUUUUUAUUUUUUUGAAAUGACCACUUUAAAAGAAAAACAACAACAACAUUUUUUACUUCUAAAGAUUGAACUAGCAAUGUAAUAUCGUAAUUGAAGAUGACUAUGUACAAAUUUGUUAAUAAUUUAAUUUAAUUUUAAAACAUAUAUAUAAUCAUUCAAAUGGUUUUAAUGCAAAUAAAAAUUCUCAUUUAAGUUAUUUAAGUAUUUUAAAGGGUAGUUUCUUUAAAUGGUAGAGAUAUUUAUUCAUCAAUUAAUUCGUCAAUUGAUAUGUUUAGAUAGUCAAAAUGUAAUUUGUCCUCAUGUCAAUCAAUUUGCUAUAUAUUAAAAGAGCACUGUGUGUGUAUAUAUAUAUAUUGAUUUAUUGAUUUUACAUAGAAAAGGAAAAUAUUGAUUUAUAAUCAAUUAGAAAUAAUACAAUAUAUAAAUCAAAUCCUUUCUCCUCAUUGCUCACUUUCUUUGGAUCUUUGGAGUUGCAUUGUUCUAUCGUAGAAGGGUUGCAAUGGUCUUGCAUUAGAAUCCGAGUCCUGUUUUCACAUAUCAAACCUUUCUUUUAAGUGGGUUAAGUAAAGUUUUUUUUUAUUUUACUAUCUUCUCCAAUUGAAAUAUAAAAUUCAUACCAAUUUUUACUUCCUUGAAGCUGUAAGAUUAUUCCACAAUUAUUAUUUUCUUUAUUCACAUAGGAUCUACUAAUUUAAUAAUGAAUUUCUCAAUUUUACAGAAUUUUGGCUACCUAGGCUUAUAGAAUUAUUUGGGAUGGCAGAUGAUCCAUUUAUUUUCUAUGGUGGAAAUCAAAAUUAAAGGAUUAAUUAUUUCAUCAAUCAAAUAACCACACGCUUAGGGUUUAGAAAAAUAAUAAAAAUCAUUCCAAUUAACUUACAUCAUGGACAGCCACUCGAAGUAAUUUUACUUGCUCUUCUGUAACAGUCCUCACCUAUUGAAAUCAUGUAGUUAGCAAUUAUAGUGCAUGAAUAUAUAAAUAUACUAUAUAAGUUUUAUUGUUUAAGCAAUUAGCUAAAAUCAGCAUAAUUGUUAAAAUUUUAGAAUAAUCCCAUAUAGGUUAUGUGUUCAAACAUUUUUUUCGUUUUUGUUUUUCAUUUUCAAACAAUAAAUCUACUUCCUUUCAUUUUUUUUACGAUUGCUUGUAUCAAUCUUAGUUGCAUUCAUAACUUAAUUCAAAAAAACAAAAACAAGCUUUUAAAUCUAAUAAGAGAUUCAGACGUGGAAGAGAAGGUGGUAAGGUAUGUUUUCAAAUAAAAGAUUAGAAAUGAAAUUUUAGUUUUUAGUUGUUUAUUUUCUAUGAUAAAAACAAAAAACCAUACAUAUUUGACAUAAUUAUUUCUAAUAUAUAUUGAAAUUUAGUAUUGGAAAAAGAAAAAUAAUAAUGUACCUGGUGAAUGAUAGUCCACAUAACAUUUUCAGUGCAUGGUGGAACAGUAAGUGAGCCAAUGUAUCUAUAAUAUUGUUUGCUACCCAUUUUCAAUAUAUUUGGAUCAAUUAUUCCAAUCACUCUCUCCUCUUCAUGUGUAUUUGAGGCCACUUCUAAAUCUUCUUCGAUCUGAUACCAUCACAAUAUUGAUCAAACAAUGUUUAUUAAUUCAAACCUUUUCCACAAAAUUUAGGCAGUUAUUGUGUGUUGUAUUUCAUAUUUUCAUAUAUAUAGUUUUUACCACGUACCCAAAUUGGGAUCUCGUUCAGAGACGCUGUAGCUGCCCUACUAAUAUCUAGGUUAAUAUAUAAAUAUUUUUAAAAGAAUCGUUUAAAAUUAUAAUUUUGACAAAAUAUUUAUAAGAUAUAGCAAAAUUUCAGAUUAUAUUAUUGAUAGACAUUUAUAUGCUUCUAUCAGUCAUAUUGAUAGACAAUCAUAAAAGUUUAUUAAGGUCAAUCUUUCAUAGAAUCUAAAAUUUUGUUAUAUGUUUAAAUAUUUUAGGUUAUUUUGCUAUUUUUAAAAAUGUCUCUUCUGUAUAUUUAUUAUUUUAUAAUAUAAUAUUAAGUAUGUAAUUUAUAAUUUUAUUAUAUGUACAUGUUUACAUUUGAAAAAAAUAAUAAAUGGAGUACUUUAUGACAUGAAAUACUAUAACUUUAUCUUUUUUUUCUAUAUUAUAAUUCAUUUCAAUUUUCAAAAUUUGAAUCAAAUAUAUAUUUUUUUCUAUAUUAUUACGAGUAUUCAAACCCAAUUUACCUGUCUUCACUAAAUUUUCAAGACACCCUCGUUUGACUCUACAAUAUUUAAAUGUCAAAAAACUCUAAACAAUGUUAGUUUAUUUAGAAUUUAGACGGUUAGAUCAUAGAUAAUCUAAAAACAACUAUUUGUCAAAUUUAUAUCCAUUAAGUUUAGUGAAUUUGAAAGAUAAAACAAAAUCUAAAUUGUUUAUCAACUAUGACGACUCAAUUAUGGAUUAAACAACUGACCGUUGAUAAGAAGUAAUCGGGUUCUCCAAUUUGAUACAAGAUUCCAAUGACAGAAAUCAUUCCAUUUGAGCUUUCAUGAACUAAGUGAGCUUCAAGAUCGAAAGUCUUGCCAUCAAUGGUGUGCUCAGAAGGUGAGUGCCAAUGACACUGUUUUAGUUUAUAUUGAGUUCCAUUCAUCUCCAUGUAUCCACCUCCAUCCACCCAUUUCAUCUGUAUAACCACAAAUACACCUUCUUUUUUACAUGCAGCAUAUAUGUUAUACGUAUAUAUAUAAUUCAUCGAUCAACCAUGAUUUUAAAAUAAUGAAUAGAAUCAUUUUUUUUUCAUUAAAUCAAAGUUAGUAUUAUUGAGUGAAAAAUCAACGUCGUGAAAGUGUAAGUCUCUUGAAGAUAAUAUAAAUCCAAUUGAAACAAAACUUAAAUUUUAAGGGUAAAGUUAUAAGUACUUUGAAAUCGAGAGACUAGAUUGAAAUCAAAAUCAAAACUUAAGAAUAAAAGUGCAACCUAUUUUGACACCUAUGAACCAAAUGAAAACUAGACCCAAUACUUGGGGAGAAAAAUGUGUUUUUUUUUUUAUUUGAAGUUACAAACGAACACAUAUGUGUUUAAUAUUAUUAUUUAAUAUCAAUCUAAUGAUUUAACAUACUUCUAUACGUGUCGAAGUAAGCAUAUAACUCAAUUUGGUAAUUGACGUGGUCUUUUUCAACCUCUAGGAUUGGAGGUUCGAUCUUUCAUAUCCAAGAUUAUCGUAUUAAAAAAAAAAACUUUUAUAUAAAGUUAUCGUACGUUAAAAAUUGAUUUUAGAUUAUUAAAAGCAUGUUUUAUAUAUAUAGAGAGAAUGAUUUUAUAUAUAACAAAAGUUGGUUUAAUCCUAGCUAGGAAAAAGGAAUUUAAUUACCAUCAUGUCAUGGCCUCUAUUCUUGAGUGUGGCAUUAGAAGAUUUGUAGUUGAUUUGAAGGUCUCCCAAAUGUGAAAUAACUUCAACUCUUUCAUGCAAUAGAUCAAUUGGAGAUUGCAUUAACCCACCCUUGCAUUUAUGCCACUCUGCUCUAAGCUCUCCCCAAUGGGUUGGUCCUUUUUCCCCAUCUCUUUCAUAAUCAAACCCUCUUUCAUUCUCUGCAUAAACAAUCAUAAUCCUUAAACAAAUAAUAUACAAUUUGAAGAAAAAAACUGAAUAAUCUUCAAUGCCAAAUUUAUACCAUAAUCUUAAAAUGUUAGAAAUGAUUUAGAAACAUUUUCUCUUAUAGGUGGUUUGACUCCUCCCUUUAUAAAUCUACGUUAACUCUUCCCAAGUAUUAUUCUCGUCUACUACUCAUAUCAUCAUAUUCAUAAAAAAAAAAAAAAAUUUAACAUUCACCAAGGAAAAGAGUAUAAUUGAAAAAUAUUUUAGAGUAUAAAACUAUUAUCUCUAUGUCAAAACUAAUAAUUGAUGACAUUGAGAGAAGUAGCUCGUACAAGUCCGUUAAAAAAGAUUGUGAGGUCUCUUUAUUUUAUAAUUUGAGAUGAUGGGAUACCCAUUUAGACUUCAUGAGCCUAAGAUAUCAUAUUAAAAAACAUGAGGUUUUAUCUCUAAAUAAGAAAUACAUAGUUCAUGAAAUCUCAUAAAUAUUGUGAGAUUCCCUAAUUUUUCGAACGGAUCUUUCAAUUACAACUGAACUAAAAUAUUUAAAGCAGGUUGGAGUGGAGAAAAAAAAAGUUCAUAAUUUGGGAGCUCACCAACUUCUUGGGAUGUUGCCUUUAAUGAAAACAAAAGAAGGGAAAAGAAGAUCAAAGAGCACAGGAUGUUUCCCAUGUUCUAACCUACUUUCUCUUUUCUCUAGAGAAUCUCUCUUUGUGAAAGUGUGGUUUAAGAAUAUGGGUUUAAGGUGUUUUUAAAGAUUAUUUAUAGCAUCAACUUACAAUGUGAAUAUAAUGCAAAAAGAAACAUUUGGAAACCUUAGCUUCAUUUUUCUUCAACUACUAUGUAUUUUCAGCAAACAACAAAGUUUGAAAUUUUCGAAGAAAAUAUGAACUUUACACCAAGAAAAAAGAAAAAUUGCAAUCAUUGAGUAUUUAAAGCAAAAGAAGUCCAAAUUCAGGAGGUUCCGUUUCAACAUUGUUUUCUCAUGUUCGUUUUAAAAAAUAUGCUUAGUAUCAGAUAUUUGAAUUAAUCAGAAGUUUCCCUAGAAUUUCUUGGAAUUUUUUUAACAGUCUCAAAAACGUUUAAAUUAAGAUGUAAUAUAUUGUCUUUUAACUUUUCAUUUCACUUUUAUGUCUAAUAGCUAAAUUUGAAAAUCUUAAAAUUUUAGUUCUAUUAAUUAAAUGUUAAUUUUCAUAAAUAUAACAAAAACACCCAAAUAUUUACGGUGCAGAUAACAAAAUAAAAAAAUCCAUGAUAUUUUCAUAAAUUUUAAGUUUAUCCUUGAAUAAUGCAUAUAAUUAUCACUUCUUUUUCUUAUUCUUAUUUGCAAUUUAUUCAUCUUUUUUUCAUAUUAUCACUUCUUUUUUAGAAUUUCUUCCUUAUGCUUCAUUUCUCAUCGAGAAUUUCUUCAUUCUUCUUCAUUUUCUUUUUUCUUUUCUUCCUUGCUACAAGAUUUAAAUGAUAUUGGUACAUGAUCUAAAUGAUCGUGUACCAAUGUCUAAACGAUUAGUUGUCUAUCUGAGAUAGACAAAGAUAGAUCACUAUCAUUAAUUGAUCAUUUAGAUUUUUGGUACAAAAUCGUUUAGACUGGGUACAAUAUCAUUUAGAUUUGAUAUAAAAUCGUUUAGACUAGGUACAAGAUCGUUUAGACUUGCUACGAAAUUGUUAAGAAUUGCUAAGAGAUCGUUUAGACUGGAUAUAAGAUCAUUUAGAUUGGGUACAAAACUAUUUUUUCACACAUGUGUGAUCGAUUAAUUGUGGGAGUAUUUUUGUUAUUUCAUGUUAUGGGCUUGUAGACAUUUUUCUUAAAAUUGUUCUAUACGUUGUAAAUACUUUCACGUUUUGUUCUAUUUUUUAAAAAACUCACUAAUAAAACUUUAAAACUUUAUUCGAUAACUAUUUGAUUUAACCAACACCAAACGCCAUUAAUGAAAUCUGAAGCGGCAAUUUAAAAGCCUCCUAUUUAAGUUAUUAAUUAAUUUAAAUAUUUUAAAAUAUAAAUUAAUUUAAUAAUCAAUCAUUUCAUCUUUUAAAAAUAAAAAGGAUGCUUAUAGGUUUAAUUAUAAAAUCUGAAAAGUCAAAUAAUUACUAACAAGAGAUCUAAACUUACAAUUUUAUACGUAAAAAAUCCACUAUUAGAUUCUUGAAUGGUUGAAAAUUCGAAAAUUUAGGCAAUAGAAGUUAAAAUUUUGAAAGCUCAUAAAUGACCAUCUUAGGUUUAAGACUAAACGUAUAAUUUAAUCCAUGCAUAUUAUUAAACUAAAUAAGAGAGAGAAUUAGUAAUUAAUUAUCUUCUUAAUAUUUGGUGUUGAAAGUUUAAUCAAAUUGCUAAUUAUAAAAAAAAAACAUAAUAAAAAUGAAAACAAAGUUUGGAGAUGAUGAAACAAGUUUUGACUAUAUGCACUCAACAAGAAAAUUGACCAAAAUCUUUGUACCAACUUUUCUUAAAAUUGUUGUCUAAAGUUGUGCAAUAAAUGAAGUCUUAGUACUAAUUUUGAAUAUCACAUAUUCAAUUCACCACCCUAUUUUAAUUUUAGUUUGAAUUUAAAAUUUACUCACACAAUGGUUAGGUUUGUUUUAAAUUUAGCUUUAAACUUAAAAAUAGGGAAAAUCUACCUUUUAUUUUUUUAUUUUUAUUUGAGAUUUGAAAUUGGUUUUUGAAGCUUUAAAACUAAUACUUGUUCUUGAGAUAGGGAAAAUGCUUUUAAAUUGUCCUUGAGGUGAUUUUUUAAAAAAAAGUUGGCAAAUUAUCAAUGAAUUAAGUAAUAUUUUCUUUACUUACUAAUUUAUUUUUAUCAAUUGAAUUAGGUUGAAUUUUGGCUUUCCCUCCCUCAUCUCCCCUCGUAGGAAAAAAAUUAAAGGCUCCUGCAAUAAUAGCAAAAGAAUUUAUGAUAAUAAGACACAUGUCACUAGAUUUUCUAAAUUAAAAAAAAGUAGAAAAUUUAAAAGUUGAUAACUCUAUCAUUACCGUCUCAUAGCUCUAUGAUUACCGUUUGAUAUUAUUAAUUUUGUCAUAUUUGCAAUAUACAAAAAAAAAAAAAAUUAUGUGCUAGUUUUUUUCUAAAUGUUUUUUUCAUUUAGUGAUAGGAUAUGAAACCGUGAGUAAUGAUAGAUUUUAGGUAUGCCAUUAAUCACUCUCAAGAUUCAAAAAUAAAAAUAAAAAAUAGUUAAAAACUAGGUUUAUAACAACUUUUUUUCAAUUAUGAAAAUCUAUUUUAGUUGUAACGAUAAUUGUUUCUUUUAUUACUGGUAAAUACGGUUUUAAAUUGGGCUAAAGAAACCUAGUUAUGAAUUUUUGCAUAAAUUUAAAAGUAUUUGUCAACAACCUCAAAGAAACUUUGAUAUGAAUCAAAUUAGUGUCGAGUAAAUUUCAAAUAUUUCCAUGUAAUUGAUCGAUAGAGAAUUCUAACACGCCCAUUGUUUGGUUGGAACAGACGACGAUUAUCUAUGCAUGUUUUUCUUUGAAUUUAGAAGUUUAAAUUUUCAAUUUUUUUUAUACAAAAACUAAAGUAAAUGAAGGAAUAAGCCCUGGUGGCAUGAUACUUGAAAAAGAAGCUAAGAAAAAAUGUCAAGUGAUGAGCGUAUCACGUGUGAAAAUUGCUAAGGAAAAAAAGACUUUAAAUGAUGCUAAUCAAUAUUUGCAUGAGAGAACUUAUCAAAAAUUUCAACUUAUUGCUAACAAUUUCAUUCCAUCUUUUCUUAUGUUUUUCUUCAACUUGUAUUCAAAUUUCCUAUCCAUUUUAACCUUAAUUUUAUUUAAUGUAGUUGGUAGCUUACAGCUAUGGAUGAAAAGAUUUUGACUUUCUUUUUUUUCUUUUUUCAACAUGUGUAUCGUGAGAAAUUCAAUUUUGACGAUGAUUUGUAUGUUUCAUCCUGAAUGAUUUUUAAAUGGUAGCAAAAAAAAAAAUCAUCUUCCAAAAUCAACUUUCAAAUACACUUUUGUUUAAUAUUACGGACUUUUGUUGUUUUCCAAAGGACUUUAAACAUGGUUUUAGUCGCUCGAAAUUAAUUUGGAUGAUCUAAAAUUCAUUUUGAAGACUUAAAAACAUGUUUAUUAGUGAUUUCGAAAAUGAAAAGUGUGAUUCUAGUAUGUUUAGAACUACUUCCAAAUAUACCCUUAACCACUCAAAAUUAAUUUUAUAUUUAAUUAUCAUUUUGAAAUGCAAUUUUUAUAUCAUUUAAAUUAAAUUUUAAUGAUUUCAAGAGGCGCGAGUAGUGAAUUUAUUUGAGGGUAGAAGAAUACAACGAUGCUUUAAGUCAUAAAGUGAAAAAGUGUAGAAACCGAUAAUUUUUAUAGUACUAUUUAAAUUGCCACAUAUGAAGCUACAAACUACAAUGAUGUAUUUAUAAUAGAUGAGGUUAACUUAGGUAUUUUUCUACUGCCUUUUGAAAUUCAACUAAUUAUUUAGUAACCUAAUGAAAUUCUAUGCAUGAUUCUUGGCCUCAAGAACAUGUUUGUACGAAAGUUAGGCUUCUUAGCCUCGAAAUUGGCUAAAGCGAAAAAAGGUUGGAUCGAGGGACCAACUCAAGUCUAUUGGAUUAAAUAAGCUCUUGGCCUCGUGAUGUUCACUAUCUUAAAGGUAAAGAAAUUCCAAAACAGUCGUAUAAUAAAGUUAUAGCCACACGCAAAAUUAUUUAGCCAAAUGAAAAUAAAGUAUAUAAUAUUGUUGGUACACGAUUGUUUAUAUUUUGUACAUAAUCGUUUAGAUUUUCUUUAAGCUUCUUGUGUUUAAAUUUUUUAUACACGAUCGUUUAGAUUUGUCUAACUAAUAUUCCAACUAUUUUUUUAGAUCUUUUAUGUUGACACAUAUUCUUGAACAACCAAAUAGUCUGAAAAAAAUAUAAAAAAUAGAUAUUUUAUAUUUUGUACACUGUAUUAAACCAAAUAACAGUUUAAAAUAAAAAGAAAAGAAAAGAAAAAUGGCAAAAAAAGACAAUGGAAAGAAAAAGACAAAAUUGCAUAAGAAAAAAGAUAGGAAAUAAGAAAAAGCCUGAAAUAUUUUCUAAAAAAAUAGUGUUCUCCAUAGCUUUUUGAUUUUGUUACAUUGACCGUAAAUAUUUUGGUGUUUUGUUAUAUUUAUAACAAUUAACCUACGAUUAACCACAAAUUCUUGAAAAUCCACCAUUUUAAUUAAAACCACAAAUCAUACGACUUAAUUUAAUUCUCAAUAAAACACAAAAAUCCAAAUACUCAAAUUAAUUAAAUAUUAUCCAACAAAUAUUUGAUUAAUUUCAAUUUUCACAAAAUAAAAAACUUCGCAUUCAAUUAACUGAAAAUAACACUCUAUAAAAGGGGUUUUUUAAAAAAUAUAACAAAUCGCUAAAAUAUUUACACAUUAUAAAACAAUUUCAAAAACGGAAAAGUCUCAAGCCCACAAUGAAAAAUACAAAAAUGUCUGUGAUUAAUUGACAUUAUGACGUAAUAUAUUUGGGAAACGAUCGUUCAGAUUUGGUUAUUCUUUCAUACACAAUCAUUUAGAUUUGGCUAUACAAAUGAGAACAAUUUUUUUAAGAUUCUUUGCACACGAUCGUUUAAAUUUGGCUAUUAUUUAGUACAUGAUCGUUUAGAUUUAAUCAUUUAAAAUUUGGGUAGCCAAAUCUAAAUGAUUUUUUCCAGUGUUUUUUGGUAUACGAUCGUUUAUAUUUGGCACACAAUUGUUUAUAUUCGAUCGUUUAAAUUUAGGUAGCAAAAUCUCAAUGAUUUUUUUGAAGAUUUUUUUGGUACACGACCGUUUAGGUUUGGUAGAGGAUCAUUUAUAUUUGGUACACGAUCGUUUAAAUUUGGCUACCCAAAUCUAAACGAUUUUUUAAGACUACACGAUCAUUUAGAUUUUGCUAUUUUUUUGUAUUCAAAUUUGAGAGCCAAAUCUAAAUGAUGUUUUUUUCGAGAUAAAAAAAAUUAAUUGAUCUUUUAUAUUUGGUACACGGUAGGUGAUGAAUUAAUGCAUGCUUGUGUGGAAAGUUUGUGGACAUUUUCUACUUGCUGAAACACGUGAGAUGUUCUUGAACUAUAAAGUUUGAUAUCUUAAAGGAAGUUUAAUUUUCAUUAGCAUCUUCUUCUUCAAUGGUUGGGUUGGAUCCUCGGAGUAACUUUGCAUAUUUGUGAGAGUGUUCAUGAAAAGCACUUGAAAAGAAUUUGCACCAUACAUUAGAUGCAUGUGUGGGAAAUUGUUGAGGAGAGUAGUAUCUUGUUUCUGUUUUCGUGAUAAUUAAAUUUGUUCUACUUAAGCCCAUCUCUUGCUCCUUGAUUUUGAAAUACUAAAUUCCUUUACUUGGAAUCACAAUGAGAUCAGGAUGAUUCUUAACGUUAGACACCUUUACUUGUAUUUAUGUUUGUGAUGUUUGUAUUUAUGUAUUUAUGCAGCAAAACUAGAAGCUAGAUUGAAUUCUUCUUCAUUUUCAUAUGGUUCCUUUGGUGACUAUGAAUUGAGUCAAAUCUAUGGUUAUUUGAAGAUAUUGAGUUAAAUUUGUGAUUAUUUUUGCUUGAAGCAAUGUCUUUUCUAGUUUUGAUUAGUCUAUAGAACUAGAUAAUCAUCUUUGCAUUUUAUGUUUUCAUCUUUCCUCUUCAUAUUAAGAAGAUCAAUGGGUUCUUUUUAAUUUUGUUUUCAUUUUUCCUUCAUUUUUAGUUUUCUUUGUUCAUUUUCUUUCUGUUUAUUGGACAGUUUACAUGGGACAGUUUAGUGCUUUAUUUUAUUUUCUAUAUAUAUUGUUUAUAUGUAUUAAAUUGUUAUAUCAUUGGGUUCAUUCACUUGUUCAUUGUUUGUAGGAAGUAUUUUAGAUCCACUGUGGCAUGUGAAAGAUUAGUAUCACUCACUUGUGGAUUGUUUGGUAGGAAGUUUUGUGGAAUGAUCCUUUGUAGGAUGACUAAGUGAAUUGAUUUAGGUGUACAAACUUUUAUACUUGUGAAUUGUUUUGCUUUGGAAAUGUUUUUUAGUCAUACUCUAAAAUGAGAUUUUGUUUUCUUACUAGGUUUGGAAUAAUCAAUUAGAGCAGUGAAACCAACUUAGAGCAAUUUAUUGAUAUAAGACUUUUUGUAGGGUCGGUAGUAAUUUUUCUGUUUCAGUGUACUUAUUUUAGGUUUGUUGGUAGCAAAAGAUGUCAUUGUUUAUUCUUUUUGUAUGGAAACUACAAUUUACCAACAAAUGGUUAUUAGUCAAUCUUAGUGUACAAAUAUUACAAAGUGUAUCAUAACGUAUAUGUAUUAAAGUGUUGACUCUUUCUUUUCAUAUGGGUGUGAUGUAUUAUAACAACUUUGUGAUUGAACUGGUUAGUAUAAUGGCAGAGCGGUAAGAAGAACCGGAAGUGUAUUUUAUUGUAUAAAAAUGUAGUAAUUGAGGAAUAUACGACUGAAAAAAAAUGUCAUAUUUUACUAAUUCGUGACAUUUUUUUUAAUUGUCGUCAAUAUUGAAACAAUGAUAUUUGAUUUUAUAAAAACUGUAUCACAAUUGGCAUAUCCUUGACAAGGAAAAAAUGUCAUGGUAUGCAAAUUUGUGACAUUUUGUAACUAUCAUCAAUAUCGAAACAAUGACAUUUGAUUUUAUAAAAACAGUCACAAUUGACAUAUCCUUGACAGGAAAAAAGGAUAUAUUAUACAAACUCGUGACAUUUUAUAAUUGUCGUCAAUAUGCAAAGGAUGACUAUUAUUUAUUGUCAUAACUCGACUCCUUGGCUCUCUGGCUCAUCGGGUUAGGCCUCACCAACCUGGGUAUUGCACUUGUAUUCCUUAUGAGUCGGGCCAUUCAUGCAAAGGAGCACUUCACUUACGAACUGGCUCCUUAAGCGUAUAAUGAGAUGCCAUGGUUAGCAUGUCGUAUAAGACUAGAGAGUAACUCUGGCUUUCCUUCUUAACUUGGCUACAACGUCUCCAAAUCAACCUUCGCAUGACUUCUACAUCUGACAAUCUAGAGAGGAAAAAACUUAAAACAUAAAUUAAACGAACUCAGAGAGAGAUGAUUUUGAGAAAACCUUUUUGAGGAACACACAUAAUUAAUAAUAAUAAGGUAAAAUCGCAUUAAAUAAGUCACGUCGCAACAAACCAUAACAAAUCAGCAACCAAACAACAAACACUACAACAAGCUCAACUAUAAGAUAUGAGAUUCUCCUCUCACCUAGACUAGAAAUAUACACUCAGCUAGCGUCUUACGAGUUACCUGGGAUUUUCUCUAGCGCCUCUUCGUAUUCGAUCUUUCUCAGACUUGGGAGUUACACUCAACUAGUGUCUCAUCACAAUCUUGCAUAGACCUAAAUUUCUCUCAUUGCUAAGACCAGAGAGUCAUUUUUAACCAACGUUAUGUGAGUUACUUGGGAUUUCCACCAACGUUCAUUGUUAAUAGAAUAUCAUAACUCACCCCGACCUAAGGUUUUUUCCUCGUCUAGACCUAGAAUUCUCACUCAACCAGUGUCAUGCGAGCUACCUGGAAUUUCCAUCAGUAUCGUACGACAGAUCAAACUACACCACAAGGCAACCACAGAUACAACAAGGAAACAACAACACUUUGCUUACUUUAGCACAUAUAAUAACAUAAUAACAAGAUAUCUUAUAAAUUUAAUCACAUAGGAAAGAAUACUCAAUAAAUCUCUUUUACAAAACAUCUCUUUUCCUAAACGAGGAUCAUAAGCAACGGUUUAGAAAUCAUAUUCGAAAAACGAUUUGGCGUUCACAUUCGUUUAUAAAUCACAUUUAAUCUUCUUCAAAAAAAUAUUCUUAUUCAUACACAGAAAGCAUUUAGUCAUUCACUGAAGAACAUUCAUAACGCGCAUUCAGAUAUAGAAAAUGUUUAGUCAUUCACAAACAUUUAUUUUUACAAGAAUCACUCACUAAGAAUAAACAAUCAUAAGAAAAAUAUUUGCAAAUCACAUUUAUCAUUCGCAAACAGUACUACAUGCAAAACAUUGGAUUUCAAUCACAGAUAAUACUUAUAAAACAUUGUGUUUUUAUCACUCACAGAAGAUACUUAGUUUCAACUCCUUCCUUCUCGGCUAUCAACUUUCUCCUCUCGUCUGGUUGUUCCUUCAAUCGAUUAUUUAGCAUCCAAAACUCUCUUUUCUUAUUUUCGUCAGAAAAUCUAAUGUUUUCAAAAAAAAUAAAACUUUCUUUUUUCUUUGGCUUUUGACCCUAUUUAUAGAGGCAUUUCAUCUCCAAAAGGUCAGUUCUACGCUUUACACGUGUCACCUUACUAACACAUCGCGCCAUGCUGCCAACUCGAACUCGACACGUAGUCUAACCAUUAGCGACGAUUUGAAUUUUCCUUGAGACACACACCUUAUAUCCUUAAAAGAAGCCAAACUCUUAAUUCUUCCAAUUGCCCUUUUCUCUAGCUUUUUGAAAAUUCAUCGUUGUUUUCUUUUCCAUAACGAGUUGUCAAGUCACUUUGAGAAGAUAUUUGCUUCCUCGCUUCAUCCUCUUGGGUGCAUAUACUUUUUCUUGCAGUGAAAUGCUAAACUCCUAACUCUUUGGCAUUCACACAUGCUUCCUUCCCACCAGCCGUUCUUAUUGCGUCACUCAUCUUCACGUGAUAGAACUUUUGGACUUACACUUUUCUAUUUUCUUCACCUAUUCUCUGUUUGCAUUCCUCUUCGUGGAUUAGGGCCUUACAGGAAGGGAAAAUUUGGAAUAUAUAUUUAAAAAAAUGGAUGCUUCAUGGGCUUUUUGAUUUUGAUACACAGACCGUAAAAUUUUGAUAUUUUGUUAUAUUUGUUAAAAUGGUCUUUAACUAAGAUAGCCUAAAAUGGUAUACCAUAUUAUAAGAUUGACCUAAAUUUUUUAAAUUUUUCAGAAAUGUCCUAAAUUGACUAAUAUUUUACAUAGAUAUAAGGCCUAAAUGACCAGUUUACCCAUCUUUAUUAUUAAUAGCAUAUUAAAAAAAUAGAAAAAUUAAAAAGGAAAGUAAACCAUUAUUAACAUUUGCAUUUAUUGGAUAUUCUACGUAGAUAUGAUAAGUCAUUAAUUCUAUUAUGGUAAUAUUAUAAUAAAAAAUUCCCUUAAUUAUUUUUAUUUUGGUGAUUUUGUUCAAAAAAUAUUUCCACUUGAUCUCUCUCACUUUCCAAUCUCUCUCUCUCCAUCCAAUCUUUCUUUAGUUUUACAUUAUUUUUCAUAUCUUUCACCUAAUUAUAGUACGUAUUGAAUAAUAAAGUGUAGAUUUUAUGAAUUAAAUGUUCUUAUAUUAAUUUGUUUAUAAAAUGUGAACCAACAAGGAGAGAAAUUAGGGACGUAGGUUACGGUUUAGAAAAUUUAAAAAUAAAAAGUAAAAGUUUCAUUCUUCGAAUACGUUGAAUAUUGAUCCAUUUUCUUCACAAAAGACGUUGAAUAAUAGAAGAUUGAGGGAAGUAUAAGCGGUGAAGAAGAAGAACAUUGAUGGUCGAUUGGUACAGUGAUCUUUCGAAAAAAUUUGGCAAAAAUUUAAGGUUAUUAAGAAUUUAUAUUUCAUAUUCGAAAUGCAUUAGGGUAUAUUGAAUAUAUUCAAGAUAACAUAAUUUAUGUAUUAUUGAAUAUAUGAAAUAGUAUAUAUGUAACAAAUCACAUAAAAUAUAUGUAUUAUGCAGUAGUAUAUAUAUAAGAAUUAAAAAAAAAGUACUGAUUGGAUAAAUAAUCUGUGUAUACAGUGGUAUAUAAAUGCAGUAUGAAAAAAUCACAAACCAUGAAAAAAAAAUUUGUGUAUGUAUUAUUGAAUAUAUGCAAUAUUAUAUAUGUAACAAAUCACAAAACAUAAAUGAAUUAUUUAGUAGCAUAUAUGUAAGAAAUAAAAAAUAUACUGAAUGAAUAUAUAAUAUGUGUAUAUAUUGGUAUAUAUACGCAAUAAGAAAAAAUCAUAGAACACGAAAAAGAAUAUGCGUAUAUAUUAUUGAAUAUAUGCAGUAGUAUAUAUGUGAAAAAUCACAAAACAUAAAUUUAUUAUUUAGUUGUAUACCAUAGUACAUACGAAUGAUGAGACAUUUAAUAAAAAUUGUAUGUCAAACAUGACAGAAAGAUGAACUGAAUAAUAAAAAAUUAAACAAAAUAAAAGAAACAUGACCGGAAUAUAUGUUACGGAAUGGAAGAAGGACAAACUUUUAAGAAAAAAAAUGCUACGAAAUGGAAAAAGAAAGAAUAUACAAAACGAAAAAUGAAAAGGAAAAAAAGACCAACAAUAUAUUCAGUAGCAAAUCGAAAGGGAAGAAGAAAACAAUUUUUUGAAAUACAAAUCGGACAAGAAAACUGAUGUCGAAAUUUAUGAAAGAAAAUAUCGAAAUUGAAGGAGGAAGAAAACGAAGUGGUUGCAUGUGCUGGAACAAAUUUCACAAAUUCAAUUGGUGAUGAAAAUAAAUUAUUACACAUUAGAAAAGAUUUCUAUUUUAGGUAGAAUUAAUAAAGUAUUUUCAUUUGAUUUAGAAUAUUUGUGAAAUUUUGGAGUAGAUUUAAGUCAUUCCUCUAAUUUUUUUUGGUUAAAAUAAGUUUAUUUUAAUUAGAAAAUAUUUUAUUUUAAAAUUUAGAAACAAUUAGUUUGUGAUUCAAAUAUGUCUUUCAAAAAAUUUACUUAAAAAAAAGACAAAAUUUAUUUAUAUUUUAUUUUUGAAAAAAGAAAAAAAGGUUAAGGAUGAAUAAUUGGGGUUGGAAACUUUAUGCGUUGAACCAAAGUAAAAGAAAAGUCAUAAAACAGAGAUCCAAUAAAUUAAUAUGUCAUAUAAAUAUGAGAGGAAAUACCAAAAUUUCACGUACACAAUCAAACGAAACAGUGCUUAAUGGGCGAAGGAAUAUAUACAAACUAAACACUCCCAUCCCUCGAAUCUGCAGGUCCAUUUUGCGUAUAUUCUUGAAUACUCCAUGCAUUUUCUUCCAACAUUUUCACCCACUUUUCUUAAUCUUCGAAUAGCCUCUGAAUUCUGUUAUUUGGAUAUGAGCUACUACUCUUUCUUCAGUUUUAAUAUGUUAUUGAAUUAGGGUUCUUCAAUCUACCUGCAUUUGAUGCGGUAGAGGUAUGUAGUUGUUCUUUUUCUUUCUUCUUUUUAUAUUCGGCGAUCCGGGUUUGCCGGAUUGCAUUAGGGUUUCCCGGGCAUGUCACUUGCUGGGUAUUUUUUUUUUUUUUUGUAAUGUCACUCUGAUUUAGUAACUAUUACUUUGAAAUUAGUUAAUAUCUGUGUUGCAUGAAUCAUUUGGAGCAUAUGCGUGAGCUUUUCCUUUGGUCAUUUGCUUCUUCCUGGUUGUUUAUUGAUAUGAUAAGCCUAUGGCCGUGGUCGCGUAAUUCUGUGCUUUGGCACCAGUUUUUUGAAUUAUAUAUUUUUUGUGGUCAGAUAAUCUGUUUUAAAUGAAUGUAGCUAUUGAAUUGUAUGUUGGAUUUGGCAACAGUUCUAACUUUUUUUUUUUACCCUUUUGGAUUAUAUUAUGGACGAGGGGUUCACAGAUUUUGGAAGCUUUGGCGAAUUUUUAAUUUGCUUUACACUCUGACUAGUGGUGAGCAAAUAAUUAGACGGUGUAGUGAAAUAAAUAUUCGAAAAGCUAGAUGUAGCUUGUUGGAGAAAAUGCAGCUAUUUAAAACGUGACAUGGUGUUUUAUUCAUCUAUUUGUAGCUAAAGCUUUGGUAUGUACUUCUAAUGGGAAUCUUUUUGUUCAGUGCGUAGUAGUCGGAAGUAUGGUGAAGGAUACUCGAUCCAGUGUCAGAGAGAGGAAUGAGGAAAACAAUAAUCUAAAAGGGAAACAAAAUGGUGAGAAGGCUCCAGCAAGAGCGGGCUCUACAACACCAGAUUCAUCUGCUUUAAGGAGGUCUGCAAGAGAAGCAUCAUUGAAGAAAAUAAUCAUUGUGACCCCUUCCAAAUCUAGAAAAUCUGAUCGACUUGACAAGCAUUCACCUCGCACUCGUAGCGAUAAAAAGAAACAUGGUACCAUUGUUCAAAAGGACAUGCUUAAUCCGCUUAGAAGAUCUGAGAGGGUUAAAAAGCAGUCUUCAUCUACCUCUUCAGGUUCUGGAUCAAAGAAAUUAGUUAAAAGUUCAUCUACCUCUUCAGGAUCUGUAUCUAAGAAAUCAGAUAAAAGCUCAGGCUCACCAUAUACGAAGGAAAAAAAGGAGAAGAAAGAGAAGAGUAUUGAACAGUUAAUUCUUGACCCUAGAGAGGCUGGAAAAUCGCCAAAACAAGACGAGGUUUCACAAAAUGCCAAAGAUAAGAGAAUGGAUGCUCGUGCUUAUAGGGCAUUGUUUAGGGAAAAACUUAAGACAGGUACUUCAUCUAGCAUCUUAAUUGUACUCUCUUUUUAUGCAUUUCUUCCCCCGUGGACAUCCCUGCCUUGUAUGAUUUGUAUUAUUCAUUUUGAGAGGAUAAUGGUUCUCAUACUAUCAUUUAGUUGAUUGACAUCUAUACAUAUGCAAGUGUAAUCAUUAAGUGAAUGGCUAGGUUCGCAUCACUUUAUUACUUUUAUCCUAAUUACAUAGUGCUAUUCUAGCAAGUUUAUUUUGUUUUCAUAUCUUUCAUGUUCAGGAAAUGUAGACUGUCGAGAGCAGGCGAAGAUGCCAAAAAGCAACGAUCAUUGUGGUAGCAAUAGUUGCAAGGAAGACUUGAAUCAGAGCAGCAAGUACAGUGAGAAGAGCAAAGAACUGAGAAGCAGUUGUCUAGAGAAAUCCUCUACUAGAGAUUUGGAUGACUCUAAUGAGAUUGAUACUAAAGAAUUGAGAAGUAAAUGUCUAGAGGAAUCGUCUACUGUUUAUUUGGAUGACCAUCCUGAAACUAGAAGUAAAACUUCGGAGGAAGUAUUGAAAAAUGACAGUGAAUUGGAUUUCUUCCUGUCAAGCCAGAAGUCCUCUGAGGAAGAAGUGCUUACUAAACUGUCAAAUGAAGAUAGUGGUACUGUACAUGCAGUCAACGAUGCAGAUAAGAAAUUGGAAGCAUUAGAGAGAUCCAAUUCUAUGCUUGAAGAAAAGAUAGUCGAUGACUUUAUUGACUCAAAUGGUGGAUGUAAAUUAAUUUCUUUGAAAAGAAAAAGAAGCAUGCUGCACUUAGAUUCUAAUGUCUCAGUAAGGAAUGGAAGUGAAAGUACAUGCUCUUCACCUACUGAAGCGGUCCAGUUAUUAUCGUCUCCAUGUAGACAGAGUGAUCAAGUUGGGACGUGUGGUGAUCAAGUUGGGACGUGUGGUGAUCAAGUUGGGACGUGUGGUGAUCAAGUUGGGACGUGUGGUGAUCAAGUUGGGACUUGUGGUGAUCAAGUUGGGACGUGUGGUGAUCAAGUUGGGACUUGUGGUGAUCAAGUUGGGACUUGUGGUGAUCAGGUUGGGACUUGUGGGGAUCAAGUUGGGACUUGUGGGGAUCAAGUUGAGACUUGUGGGGAUCAAGUUGAGACUUGUGGGGAUCAAGUUGAGACUUGUGGUGAUCAAGUUGAGACUUGUGGUGAUCAGGUUGAGACUUGUGGUGAUCAAGUUGAGACUUGUGGCAAAUGUUUGAAGAGACAAAGGUAAGUCUUGACUAGGGGAUUUUUUUGAUGUCAUGUACUUGUUGCAAUUCAAGAAACCAUGGGUUACUUAUUGAACACAGUCACAUAUACCACAAAAUGUUAUUUAUCAUUACCCAUCAAUCACUUAUCACUAAGCAGUGGGAGAUGCCAAUAUGUCAUUGAAUUGUGAAUGUCAAGGAUACUGCAUGAUGUAAAAUUGCUUACCUGGUUUAUCAUAUUAAUUAUAGCGUUGUCAAAAUGAUAUUGAUAGGGAAUGGGGGUAUUUUCUAUAACUAAAAAGUGUAAGACAUAGACAGUAAGCAUUAUGACCUUGGGCCUUUAUUUUUCUUUUGAAUUGGAGUCCCUUCCUAUAUUAGCUGCACUCUUUUUGUUGGGUUGUUUAACUGUAUGCUCUUAUAUAUUCUUCAUCUUUUCAAUGAAAGCUUGACUCUUUAUGCAUAUAUAUAAAAAACAAUUAUGAACCUUUGGGUGCCACUUAAGAAUUUUUUUAAAACGGAGACAAACUUUUUUAUUAAUCGUAAGAACUCAAUGUACAAGAGAAUUAUACAAUGAGCUGAAUAAAGAAGUCCAAACAAGCGAAAGAAGAAGAAUAAUAGGGAUCAGAAGGUGCACCUGGACAUCUCAACUAGAUUGACACCCCAUUAGCACCAAAACAUCAUAUCCCAUUAAAACUAGCCUAUUGCAACAAUGAGAAAAAUAUCCAACCUAUUACAAUGAGAGUAGAAUCCAGCCAAUACAGCAAAACUAAAAAAUCAUCGAAAACUAGAAAAGAAAAAGAAAACAAGUGAGUCUUAUUAGACUUAAGAAUUAAGAUCAUAAAAGGCCUCACUUGCACUUGGAUGUUGGAAUGUGUUCGAAGUCACUAGUCAUGAUUGUUCUUUAUUUUCAUUUUUGUUUUCUGAACUAUUUGUUAUCUUGGGCUCUUAAGAUGGGAACAAACUUAGUUGGAAACAGUAAAGUGGUCAUUUGAGACGAGGAUUAUGCAAGACUAUAAUAACCACCUCUAGCUACAGUAAAUACUAUUUAAAAAUCCCUAAUUAGCUACAGUAAACACUCUUUCAAAACCCCCAAUUUGGUACAUAUUUGCUACUUGACAUUCAUCAUUCUUUUAUUAUUUGUUACAGUGAUUACUAUUUCCUUUUCAAACUAAAAUAAUCUUCUCCAUAAACACAUAUUAUUAUAACCCAAACUAAAAUAAUCUCCACCCAAACACAAACUGUUAUAAUUCAACUAUAAUAAUUAGGACUAUAAUGACUCACUUCUUACCUCAAACAUCCCAAAGUCUUGAUAGUGGUUUUGGGGUGCGUGCUCUAUUGUGGAAUCUUGUGUGAAGAGGAACAACGAGGAACAACAGAGUGUUAUAGUAUGAAUAGGGACCCUGUGAGAUUGGUCCUAGGUGAGGUUCCAUGACUCUCUUUGAGGUUUAGUUUCAAACACUUUUUUUAAUUAUUCCCCAGGUUCUUACUUAGUUGGAAGCUCUUUCUCUAGGGGGUUAUUGCAGGCUCUGUUUGCUUUAUGCUGUUGUAUUCUUUUAUUUUUUUUCUCAAUGAAAGCAUUUUUUUAUUUUGAAAAAGGAUUUUGGGGAGGAUUAUUCAGUGGGAAUAAUUGUCACUUGUUUUCAUCAUUAAUAAGUAGUUUUGAAGAUCAUAAUUUUUAACUUAUCCUGAUACCAUUGACACGUUUGAUGGGUUCUUCAUUAUUACAUAUUGCAGGUUAGGAAAUGAUUCAUUGAAAGACUUUUGCUCUUGUGUGGAAAUAGAUCAGCAGCAGAAUGAAACAAUAUCUAUUGAUGUGGUUUGUUUGUUUUUUCUUUCAUUCAUUCUUUCUUUCUUCAAUUGUCAAUCUUCUUCGUUUUAGUUUUCUUCACUGUCGCAUUCAUAUUUUGUGCAUUUCUGUCUUGUUGUUGUUUAGAUUCUCGGUUCAAAAUAAAGUUUAAUGCCGACGAUAAUGUUGUUAUAUUUCUCAGUCCAGACUUCUAAUACCUCCUAGAUAUUCUCUACUUCUUGAUAUGAAUGAGAUUACAAGGUUGGAGUUAAAAGGCUUUUUCAUUGGCAUGUAAUGGUGAUUUUUUUGAACAAGAAACAAUUACUCAUUAAUAUAAUGAAAAGGGAUAAAUGCUUAAGAGAGCAUAUAAACUCUAAAAGGGAGUGAAAAUUAAAUAAGGAAAAAAAGAUCAAGAAUUUUGUGACAACAAACUGAAAGAGAUCAGUCAUGAAAGCAUUAAGUUCAGAACAAAGAGCACAACCAAAAACCAAUCCUAAAUAAUGAAGGCACAUUUGGGACUUAUUUUUCCAGAGGUUCAUAUCUUGUACGCUCAUCAUAGGGACACUAGUGUUAUGAUCAAAGUGUUUCUGCUCAAUCAACCUAGUGGGAGAAGGGUCAUUUUACGACUUGUUGGGUGCAUGUGAGCUUAUGGAUUUUAUGGGAUGAGCGGAAUAGUAGGGUGUUUAGAGGAGUGAAAGGUGUCACAAUUGCAUCUUUUCAAACAUGGGACGAGCGAUUGUGCGACACUUGUUCUAAGAACAAGUCAGCUGUAUUAAAUCCGAAAGUCACGAGCAAACUCACGGUAUGAUGUAGCCUCCCUUCACGUUUUGAGAGAAAUUGGUUUUAUAAAAUGUGAGAGGGAAAGGAAAGCAUUGAAAACAUCAUUGAAGACUGUAAAUUGCAAAAAGAGCUUAGAUUACAAAGAGUACAUGUACAGCAAGGCUUGGUCAGGGAUUCAACUAGUAUGUCUCCCAUAUAGUACAUUUAAAACAUUUUUAGCUUUGAUAGACUUGUAUAUGAAAAGUGUGAAAUGUCAUACUCUAGGUCAAUGACAUAAAAAGGAAAGCAAUAGACUAAACUAAGUACAAAACUUAAAGAUGGGGUGGUUUGAGGAUGUUUGGGCAUGCAAUCAUAGGCAAACAACGCCUUGGACAAGCAUGCUCGUGACAAAAGGGGCCCUGGUGAGGUUUGGUCCCUUGUUCACUUUCAUGUUCUUUGUGGGGGAGUUACCCUUUUUUGUUGCCUUGUUUUUUUGUAUGCCCUUGUAAUUUGUAUUCUUUCUUUUUUUUUUCUUUUAUUUAUGAAAGUUGUGAUUCCAUAAAAAAAUAAUGAAGGCUUAAAGAUUUGGAAAAUGUUGAAGGCUGAAAUUGUUUUGUAAAAUUUCCAAACCAUACCAUGGGUCCAACCAAAAAACUAUUCUGGUACUCGUUCCAAGUAUUAAAAAGUAUCCAAAGCAUCCAGAUUUAACCAAGUUCAAAGAUGCUAAUCCAUGGACUCCUCAAAUGGUUUGGUAUACUUUGGUAAAUUCAAAUUAAUCUUGGUUGACCCUUGAUUAAUUACAUUUUAGUGCCCAAUCAGUUCUUAGUUUUUGUUUUAGUUAUCCUUUUAGGAUUCUUUUAAUUCUUGAUAAAUAGCGAGCCCCCCUGUAUUAGACAACUUUUUUCAUCAAUAAUAAAGACUUUGAUUGAACUCUUAGAGAGAAUUCUCCUUUUUAUCUCUUUAAGCUAAUAUCUUACAAGUUACUUUAUAUUAGGUCGCCAAUACCCCAGCUUAAAUAGUUUUAGUUGGGCAGUAAAUUUCUGAACAACUUUAAUCCAGUAAUCCAGGGCUGAUUCCCAUAUUUUUUCUUUUACAAUAUGAAACAGAUGAGAAAUUCCUUCAUAACCCUGCACCGUCAUUCUCUUGUUUUUCUUACUGUAUUAUAUCUUUAUUAGUAAUAGUUCCUUUUUUCUACUUUAGAAGAUUUAAUUUAUAAUUUGAGCCAAUUUGGUCUGUUGUGAAGGGUUCUCUGCGGGUGAUGAUGAAUUGGGCAAAGUGAACAAUAGUGAAAAUUUGAUUUAUAAUUGAAUAAAAAAAAUUUAAUUCAUAGAAUUUACCAUGUCCUGUUUCUUAGAAAUCUUUAAAGGUUACACUAUAUUGAACUGAUCUUAAAUGUCGUGUUUUGGUUUAUUGUCGUAGGAUAGAGGGAAGUCCAUGGGCAAUUCCAUCUCAGAUCCUACUGGAAAUUGUGUUUGGUGUAAGCUGGAAAAAGCAUCCUUGGACAUCGACCCAAAUGCAUGCCUCAUCUGCAAAGUUGGGGGAAAACUCUUGUGGGUACUAUUUUAUUGAUUUAUCAUAUUGUUUUCCUGAACAUUUAUUUUGUAUGAAAACCAUUUGGUUGGAGGGAAUUUAUUUUGUUGGUGAGUUUGAUCAGGAAUGUUGUGAUUGUCGAGGAAAACAUUUAAAAAAGGAUCGGUGAUAGAAGAUAUUGCAAAAUUGAUUGAUGGAAAUUUGAUAGAACACCAAUAAAUGUGUUCUUAUUCAAUUGAUUUAAACUCACUAUUACAAAGAAGAAUUGAUAUGAAAUGAAAAUACAGAAAUUAACUAAGAACAAGUAAAAGACUUCUCUCUCUGCCUAUCCUCUCUCUCAAGGAAGAGUGCAGAAAGACUACCCUCAAAACUGAUUUUCCCCCUUUUCUUCCCUCCCCAACUUCCUAUUUAUAACCAUCUAACUGCCUACAUAACUAACUACCCUUAGCCCUAUACUAUUCUAGGUAUCUAUCAGAUAUAUAAUCUCCUAGCCUCCCACCCUCUUGGAUGGAGGUUUGUCUCCGUUAAAAAAAGGGAUAAUUUGGGAUGUGAUCUUUACUGCCUUUGGAUGGAACAUUGUACUACCAGCACAUUCCAAAGAAUGGCUUUAGUUGCUUCUAUAUAACCACCAUUUCAAGUCGACAAAAGCCACUUUAUGGCCCUUCAUAGUUAAAGUAAUCAUCUAAAGGAUUUGGACUAAGAAAAAGUUGAGGGUUUUUCGAUUGUGAAUUCCACAAUAGACGCCUUUUAAUCAUGAGGUUAACCCAUCCUUGAUGCCUUCCACAAUAAGCAUCUUUUUCCUCCAUAAUGAUUCCUUUUCUACUUAGCCCCAUUUUCUUUUCUUUCCCUGUCUUUUUCUUUGUUGCUUAACCCAUCCUUUUUCCUCCUCCCUCUUCUUCUUUGUUGUCAGCCCCAUCUGUCACCACCAAGUCUCUAUUAUUUCCAUGGAGCUGGUGAGGUGCGGUAUCCUUAACCUUCACUUUUGCAUCUGUUUGAAAACGAUGAGUUUUGUUGUAGGCAUGAAGAAAAAGAAGAAAAGAAAAUUCCACUCUUUCCCUUAUUUGAUUUGGUUUGACAAUUCUCUUGCUGAAUGAAUGCAACUUCCAAUUCUAGUUCCUAUAUGUUUUUCCUAAGAAAGUUAGGGAUGCUUCUGAGACUAUUUGUUUGGCCAAGUUUAGAUCUCCACUAAAAUGGAAACUCGAAUGUGUUGUUUAGCCACCUUUGGAGGUGGAGAGAUAUUACUGAAGUAUGUUCCAAUUUGUCUUAUUAUAAAAAACCCAAGAAAUCUUAAAGAUCUUGAAUAGAGAAGACUGAGGACAUGCAUAUGAGGAUGACACAUGAGAGAAUUCCGGUUUCUGUUACAACAUAUGGGCAUUCCUACUGAUUUUUAGCAUGCAUAUAGCUGUUCUAAACUGUAACUAUAUUGAAACUGAAGUCAUCUUGCUGAUUGGUUUCCAUAUGCCUGUCUUGUUUUGCAUUUACUUUAAGAUGCUGUGAAGGAAAAGAAUGCAGAAGAAGCUUCCAUCUUUCUUGUCUAGAUCCUCCCUUGGAGGAUGUUCCCCUUGGAGUUUGGCACUGUCCAAUGUGUAUUAGAAGGAAGAUCAAGUUCGGUGUAUAUGCUGUGUCAAAGGGCUUCGAAUCCAUCUGGGAUACAAGAGAAACAGAGAUAUCGGAUGCCGAUGGUAUGGUCUACUUAGUGAUUCAAUCUUACACAUGUAAUAGUAAUUGCUUGUAGAUGUUCAAGACACAGCUUUCUUAUGAUUUUUGUUUUAAUCUUUUUUUGUGUCAUUUUUAGUUUUUCCUCAUUUUUAUAUGAUCGAAAAUUAUAUAAUUUUUUUUAGAUUCUUUAUCUGUUAUUGUCUUCAAGGGUCGCAAAGGCAGAAGCAAUAUUUUGUGAAAUUUAAAGAUCUUGCUCAUGCUCAUAAUCGUUGGUUACCUGAGAGCAAAUUGCUUUUAGAAGCCUCAAGCCUUGUUUCAAGAUUCAUCAAGAAGAAUCAGGUUUUGAAUUGUUCUUUCUAAAAGUUUAUGUCUCGUUCAAUUAGAAGUUAAUGUUCUUAAUUGAUUGAUAUUUAGCUUGUGGAAUUCAAUGUCACAAUAUUUAGCAUAGCUCAACGGGCUCAUUCAAGAGCUGGACCUCUUUUUUUUUUAAUAAUUCCUUAGAAGUGUUCUGGUCAUUCAUCCAAAAACCACAGUAUCGUUGGUCUAUUUUAGGUUUGUUUCGUUGUUAUGCCCUUCUAUGGGUAUUCGUAUCUUUUAGAAUUAGUCCUAUUUCAUUGUAUUGAUGAAAAGUUCUUUUUAUCAAUUGUUCUAUAUUAUAAUAAUUUUUUUUAAAGUAAUAAAUAAUAGAACUUAACUUUUUAUAAUUUGAUGUAUAAAUACAUGUACUACAUGUUUAUUUAAUAAUUUUUAAAGGAUUAUCAAUUAGAAAUUUAAGGGGGAUGUCAACCUAGUUGAGAUGCUUGGGUGUGCCUCUUGAUCCUUAGGUUUUCUUCCCUUUGUAUAAUCCUCUUGUAUUGUACUUUGAGCAAUAGUCUCCUUUUAUUAUAUUAAUAAAGAGAUUUGUUUCCAUUUAAAAAAAAAUUAGAAAUCUAAGUAACUGACAAUCUAAGUAAUCAAAGUAUCAACUAAAAAUCUUAGUGUUUUUUAUCCUUUAUUUUGUUUGGACUGCUUUUGUUUUGAUUAUUUUAUGGAUAUGAUGAGGGUGCUAAGGGGGUGUCAACCUAGUUGCGAUUCCUGGGUGCAUCUCGUAAUCCCUAGGUUAUUUUUGCUCUUUUGUUUCUCUUUCUUGUACUUGGAGCAAUAUUCUCAUUUCAUUAUUUCAAUGAAGAGGCUUUUUUCUGGAUGCGUCCCUUGAUCCUUAGGUCUCUAUUUUUGUACUCUCUUAGUAUAUACCUCUUGUACAUUGAGUUAUGAAUCUUAAUAAAGAGGUUGUCUUCUUUUCAAAAAAAAAAAAAGAGGCAUUUUUCUGUUAAAAAAGGAUUAUCAAUUAGAUAUCCAGUCAUUUUUAUGAGGCCUGGAUUUUGUUAAAUCAGUAAUAGGGUAGGGGCAUUUAGGGCCUAUUGCUAUACAAUUUCAAAACGUAAUUUUUUGUUUUGGGAUAAGAAACCAUUUCAUUCAACAAAUGCCCAAGUACAAGAUGAAACAAGGGAGCAACCCCGUUGAAAGAAGGAAAAAUACAAUGAUACCAUAGGGGAGGAGGGAAGAUGUAAAGGGGGAAAAUACAGAAAGAUGUAAAAUGGAUUUAUGAUGCAAGAAGCCCAAAAAAAUUGAACAGACCAAACAAAACAACAAUUUAAAAGACAUUAAACCAAAACACAUCCCCAAGCGAAACAUAGUCAAAUCAUCGUCUGAUGAGUAAAAUAUGAUGGUAGAGGGAGAGAAAGUGUCUGAGGAUUGGAGAGCUAGAUUCAGGCCAAUAAUGAAUGGAACUUCUUUUUUUUUUUAAGAGAUCGAGAACUCCAAGUUCCGGAUUUCUCUGAUGUUUUCGUGAUCCCAGUCCAUGGUGUCAAAGGCUUUAUUAAGAGGCAUGCUCUUUUACUGUGAAAUCUUGUCAGUUGUUUUGAUUCAAUUUAUCUCUUACCUUUUUAUGGGGGAUUCUAUCUCAAGUUUUUGUCCUUCUUAGUUGAAAAUUUUGUCUCUCUUUUUGUUUUUGAAACAGAAACAUAAUUUUUUAUUAUUGAAAUGAAAAGAGAAAUUACAUUAACAUAGAAACUUGGGAUCAGUAUACCUACUAGAUAUCUCAACUAGGUUGAAACAACCAUAACACCCUCAUCACAUCCCUAUACAAAGAAAAUCCUCCAUAGUUUUGAGAGUAUGUCUAGAGAAUAUGGUUACAAUGACAUGGAGAAAAUAAAAGCAUUCCAAUUAAGACAAAUAUCCUGAAAAAAGUAAUAAGCAAAGGACUUUGAUUGGGAACUCCAAGAAGAAGCCAGUAAACAAAUAUCCUGAAAAAAGUAAUAAGCAAAGGACUUUGAUUGGGAACUCCAAGAAGAAGCCAGUAAACGAGUAGAACUGAAGUGAUCUAACCAGUUCGACGGCCUAUCAUGAAAAACUCUCUGAUUUCUUUCUAAUGAAGAUUCUGUGUCCUAUUUGGCUUGUAUUAUCUACAUAUCAGUUGUAUUGGUCUUCUAAUUGUAGGUCUUGUUUUUUUUUUGUUUGUUAAUAAAAGCAACAACUUUCAUUGAGAAGAAAAUGAAAGAGUACAAGGGCAACAAAAAAACAAGCCCUCCAAAACACCCCGACUAAAGGAAGGGGGGGGGGUUCCAACUAAGUAAAUCUAAUUGUAGGUCUCUUUUUUCAUUACAUGAAUGGAAUUUUUUGUUUUCUUAAAAAAAAAAAAAAAAGAAAGUAAAAACAUUGAGCCACUACCAUGCCAUCUGUUUUUUUGUGAUAUAUUUUUUAGAAUCUUCUCCAACUAGCUCCUUUUGUGAAGGAUUAUAUCUUGAAUGGGAUGAGUAUGGGCCAUGGUAAACAGUCUGCAUUUGCAAUUUAGUGUUGUUAUUUUAUAUUUUAUUUAUUAAGAUGAAUCUUUCUCCAAUUUGAUGACAAUCUUCUUUCAGUAUUCAAGGUGGAAGGAAGAGUGGGCUAUUCCACAGCGUUUGUUACAGAAGAGAUUGUUAUUGUCUGCUAAGCUAUGCGAGGAGCAUGAUGCGGAAUUUUCUGGGGCUGAGUUGAAUUGUCGAUAUGAGUGGCUUGUUAAAUGGCGAGGCCUUGAUUACAAAUUUGCAACAUGGGAGUUGGGAAAUGCUUCAUUCUUAAGUUCACUUGAUGGCCAAGGUCUUAUGAAAAAUUAUGAAAGCCGCUGUGAAAGAGCUAAGUUGGCCUCCCAUGUCUCAGAAGUGGAUGAGAAACACGAGGUAGAUUAAGUAAAGUUUGUGCUUCUAUGAUCAUCUAUCUUCUUUGUAUCAGAAAUCAGAAUUUUAUUUUUGUUUGAUUUUUUUUGUAUGAAUAUUUUGCUUACCUAAGAACCCCACAAACAAGGAAAACUUUUUGUAUCCGUAUUUUCCCUCAUCCCAUUGCAGUUAUCUUUCUUGGUUAUUUUUCAUAACUUUUGUGCACGGAAGACAGUUAAUUCACCAUUUUAUUUGAUUUUAGAUUUGGACCCCAUUGGACAUUGAUGGAUUUUUACAAGAGAAUUUUCAAUCAUUUUAUUUUUCAAGAUCAGAUGUAUUUGUUAGGUAUCUUCCUGUAUUCCGAAAAACCCAACAAUGUCCAAAGUACAGGGGAAUUUAGCCUUCCCUGGUAUAUUGGUAAUUCUAGAAAGAACAUGAUAGUUCAGGUACCAAUGACAGUCUUUAAAGUAAUAGAAAAUGCACAAGAACAAGCAACAUGAUAGACCCCCAUAGUAAAGGUUUAUUCCCUAGAGACAAGAACAGAAAGAAGAAAGAACGAUUGGGAGUUAGUUGGUAGUUUUCCAAUUGUGUGGGCCCUUAGGAAUGUGUUUGUUAGAGUGGCGCCAAGUAUUAUGUUAUUCUCUUUAGUAGUUGCCUGUUUAAAUAUCUAGUAUGGUAGGGCAAGGGUAUCUUUUUCCUUAAUGAUUUUGGUAUAGAAUUCUCAUUAGAGAAGUGUGGAGAGAUUGGGGAGCUCUCAAAUCCUUCCCCAAUAGUUGAUAAAUAAAAUUGUGGCUAAGGCCUUAAUACAACACUAUCACAAGACCGCCAAAUACCUAGGCACAUUCCAGAGGGCCUGAAAUUCUCUCCCCUAGCUUUGCCUUCUAGCCAAAAUCUAGCCAAAAAAUUUCACACCCUGCUUUUCUGUUGCAAAACUCUCUUUAAACCUCCCUUUGUAGUCCCCAUAGAAUUUUCUUCGUAUAAAUAACCACCCAAUGUCCCCUGCCACAUCAAUCUCCCUUUCCGAGCAGACGUCCUCUCUUGCCCCUCUUCCUUUCAUAUGUGCCUCAUGAUCGGGGUCUCACAGUCUUGUUCGGCUCUCGUUCUCCGCUUCUCUAUUUCCUUAUUUGCAGUAUUAGUCUAUUUCCUCUUCUCCGAUAAGAUAAAAAAUUACUUUUCUUAUGGUUUACUUGUUAUACUAAUUUUUUUUCUAAAGUAAAGAUAUCGGAGAUUUUGUCGUCAUUUGUUUUAUAAUUUCCUGGUGGUUGUUUCCCUCUGAUUUAUUUAUUUGUUUAAUUUUUGUAAAAUUUUCGAUGAGUUUCUUUCAUUUGUUGGUUUGCUGCUUUUGCUUUUAUGCCAUUGGAAAUUUAUUUUUGUUGUUCCUUGACACAUGUAUCUUAAAUUCUUAAUGAUGUCUUUCUACCAGUUGCAGAUACUGCAUAGGAAAAGAACUGCUGUGGCUAAUCUGUCACAGUUUACAGAUAAGGAUACAUGUGGCUUUAAUGAUAAUUAUAUAAGCUAUGUCAACAAGCUUUAUCAGUUUUGGCACGAGGGGAAAAAUGCUGUUGUGAUUGAUAACCAGGUGAGCAUAAACAGAUGAUACAUUAUAGGGAGUAAUGCUUUUUAAACCGCAGUUCAAUAAUUAAUAUUAUUGUUGGAGGUGGUGCACUUGAAUAGUUUUUCAAUUUUCAUCAUUAAUUUGAAUUGAAUAACAAAUUAUAUUUUUUUGAAAAGGAGACAACUUCUUUAUUAAUAAUAAGUUCUCAAGGUACAAAAGGUAUAUACAUUGAAAAUAAUAAAGAAGCCUAAAGAGCGAGAAAGAUAGUGGAUCAGAGGGUACACCCAGAUAUGUCAACUAGGUUAACACCCCCUUAGCACCAAAACAUUAUAUCCCAAUUAUGAUACUGAAUAAAAUAGAGAAUGUAAAUGAUAAAACUUAAAUGAGUCCAACAAAAGUACACAGGCUGAGAUUGGGAAAAACUACAAGUAGAAAAAGAGGCAGAACAAAAACAGCUGAUGAGAGAUCCAAAACAGAGUAGCUAAUCAUCUUCCAAAACAGGACAAAAAUUAAAGGGCUGGGUGGGAUAUUUAGUUUGUUUAGUCUUUAUAUUUGUAUUUCUUUGUGAUUCUUUUGGUUUUGUUUUGCUUUUGGACAUUACUUCUUUAUUUUGAUUUUUAGCUUGGUUGGAUAUGAUGAGGGUGCUAUGGGGUGUCAACCUAGUUGAGAUGCCCAAGUGCACUUCUUGAUCUAUGAUUUACAUGCUCAUUGUAUAAUUCUCUUGUACUACGAGCUCUUGUCUCAUUAUUAAUAUAUUAAUAAAGAGGUUUUUUUUUUAAGAAAAAAAUUCCUUCAAAGACAACAAGGCAGUGAUUUUGUCCAGCAUCAUUUGGGCAGUUUCUUCUGAGAUUUAGGAGAAAAGAAAAGAUAGGAUCCUCAACAACUCAAAAUCAUCAAAAGACAUCCUGGAUUCAUCUAUUUUUUAUGUGUGAGUUUUUUUUGGUGUGUAAACGUUUAUUGCCCCUUAAAAGCCUAAGUUACCUUGUUAAUUGAACAUGACCUUGUACACCUUUUGAUUAGGCUCUUUUCUACAUCUGAUAUAUUAUUUCAUUCUUCAAAUAAAUUCUCUUAUCAAAAAAAAAAAAAAAAAGGAAAAGAAAACUCGAUUUAAGAAGCUUUGCAAUGGCAAUCGAUCACUGGCAUCCCUCCUCUUAUUUGUAUAAGAAUUCUUUGUUUGUAUUCUUCUCUUUGUUCAUUUCUCCUUUGUGUUUGGGACGUUUCUCUUAGAAUCAUAGUUUUAGCUCCUACUGUUUUGCUGAGGUUGUCAACUAGGUAAUAUAUUGAAAGGAGAUUUUAACUGCAGGAUCAAAUGUUUGUAAUCUAGCUAAACGGGUAAUAAUCUAGCAAGUUUGUCUCUAAACAACUUGCUUGCUAAUAUCAAGAUGUUUCUGUCCUCUUUUAGUAUAGAGGCUGCUCUUGGAAAUCUGAGAAUAAGUGUUGAUAGUCCUUCAAGUAGCCACAUGUAUUAUUGGGCAUGUGAUAUGAGAAAUCCUGGUGGCAGUUUUUUUGUCGAGCUAUCCUAUUCUUCAUUCAAUGUUGAUGAUGAAGUUUUCAACAGUUAUGAAUACAGUCUUCUGGGAAAGAUUUCAGAAGUUCGCGUUGUGUAUUUGAAUCGUGGGAGCGGAAUUAGGGGUCAGCAUAAUUGAAGUUGUCAAGGGGGUUUCUUUGAUCAUCCGCAGGUCACUUCGGGAUUUGUUGUGUCAAAUACCAUGUUUAGAAGUUGAUUUCAGACAUGAGUAUUUUGACUCUUCAGGAGGCCCUCUUUGUAGCUCAGUUUUCUCAUUUGAACUUGUUUUCACAGUAGCUGUUUAGUUAGGCUCCAUUUUUUCGAUACUGGUUUUCUUUCUAUUUCUUUCUAAUUUUUCCUGUCUCAGCCAUUUGUAUUUAAGCUGGAUACUAUUGAUUAUUAUCUAGCAUUUUGUCUGUUUGCUUUGUGUUUAAUUUAUAUGAUGUUUUGGUGCUAUAGUGGUGUCAACCUAGAUGAGAUGUCUAAGUGCACCUCCUGAUCCUGACUGCUUUUUGCACUUUAGGCUUCUUAAUUACUCAUUGUAUAUCUCUCUUGUACUUUGAGUUUCUGUUAUUAAUAAAGAAAUUUGUCUCCGUUUCAAAAAUACUGCAGGAUCGCAUGGCAAAGAUUAUUGCAUUCAUUUUAACUUUGCAACCUGAUGUCCUCCGACCCUUUCUCGUUAUCACAACUUCUACAGCCCUUGGUCUAUGGGAUUCUGAGUUAUUACGUUUUGCUCCAUCUUUCAAUGCUGUAGUUUACAAGGGAAACAAAAAUGUACGGAAAAAUAUAAGAGAUCUAGAGUUUUACCAGGGAAGUUACCCGAUGUUUCAAGCUCUUAUUUGCUCCUUGGAAGUAAUGAUGGAGGUAAUACUUUGCCCCUCUAGUUAAAUUUAUUGUUGAGAAAUUUUUGGAUCCUUAUGAGUCGACUUUGUAUCCAAGAUGAUAACAUGGCAGUUGGAUGGUAAACUAGACUCCUUGAAAUGAUGACAACUACUUUAAAUACUUUAGCCUAUACCUCAUCUUUAGUAAUCCUUUUCCCACUCUUUGUUUUUGAACUAUACUAUAUAAGCCUUGGAACUAUCAUUCAGUUUCAAUCUUCUUUGCAGGAUCUAGAUAUAUUGCAACGUAUAAGUUGGGAAGUAAUAAUUGUUGAUGAGUGUCAACGCCCAAUAAUUUGUUCACAUCUUGAAAAAAUAAAGAUGCUAGAUGGAAAUAUGUGGCUGCUCGUUCUUUCUGAUCAGCUAAAGGUUUGUUUUUGUGACUGGUUUAUGAUAUUAACUCACAAUUUUAUUUAUGUUGGAAUUUUCACAAUAUAUAAAUAUUUGUGUGUAAAUAUUAGUGGCCAAUAUUUGGUCUUUAUUAUCUUGAUUUAUUUACUCUUUUGAACAAAUAUUUUCUUUCAUUGAUGACUUUUGAUGUUAUGAAAAGAGACUAAUAAUGCUCAAAAUAGUAAUAGGUAAAAAAAAAACAAGCAACAAACAAUAAAGUGAUUGAUGAAACUAAAAACUCUAGAAUUGAUAUUUAUGAAAUCACUCCAAUUAAGACAAAUUUUCUGUUAGAGAAAAAGUGAUGUAGCCUUAAGGAUAAAAGGAGAGAGAUCAAAUAAUAAAGUUGAAGUCUUUAUUAUUAUUAUUAUUUUAAACGGAAACAAGAUUUUCAUGAAAUGAUUGGAGGGCCUUCAUCUUUCCUUCACCCUAGUCCAUAAUGUUUUGCUUAUGUUUAGUUAGUUUAUAAGUUGUUCUUAAAUGUGAAGUUUGAUCUUGUUGUUUGCUUCUGGGUUUUGUAUGUGAUGUUGUACUCGUACUUUGGCUUCUUGGUGUUUUGAAGCUUUAUUUUUUGUUGGACUGUGUUAGGUCACCAAGGCUUAAAUAUUCUAGAAGGGGUAAAAAGGAAAGUAUUGAAAGCAUUAAACACGAAACCAAGGCUUACAUAGAAACCUAAGUAUCGGGAGAAAAACCACGAUAUUGUUGUUUUAUUAUUUUCUGAUGAAUAAUAGGUACAAUGAUGGAGAAUAAAUAAAUUACAUAAUAGAAUAAAAAAGGAAAAGAUUUAGGAAUUAUGGUAAAUCUUCCCAUAAAUACCCUAUGGGCCAAGCCCACUAAUUCUAACACUCCUCAAGUUGGGACGUAAAUAUCAAUGAGGCCCAACUUGCUAACACAAGUCGAAGUUUGGUUUGAGAAGCCCCUUGGUGAGAACAUUAGCAACCUGUUGGCUUGUACGAAAUGCGUAUGUUCCCAUUGUCAAGUUUUUCUUUGAUGAAAUGUCGAUUAAUCUCAACAUAUUUAGUUCUAUUAUAUUGAACUGGGUUGUUAGCAAUACUGAUAGCGGGUUUAUUAUCACAAAAAAGCUUCAAUGGUGUCUCACACUCCUGACGAAGAUGAGGUAGGACUUUCUGGAGCCAAAUUUCCUCACAUAUUCUCAAACUCAUAGCUCGACAUUCGGCCUCUGCGUUGCUCUUGGCCACAACGCUCUGCUUCUUACUCCUCCAAGUUACAAGGUUACCCCAAACGAAGGUACAACAACUGGAGGUAAACUUUCUGUCAACAAUAGAUCCUGCUCUAUCCGAGUCAGUAUAUGUCUCGAUGGUCUUUCUGUCUGUGUUUUAAACAUCAACCCUUUACCAGGUGUUGUUUUCUAGUAUCUCAAAAUUCUAUUGAAGCUUCCAUGCGUUCUUCAUAGGGAGUCUGCAUAAAUUGGCUGAUAACACUCACAUCAAAGGAAAUAUCAAGACGAGUAUGGGAUUAGUGAAUCAAUUUACCCACAAGGCACUGAUAUGGUUUUUUAUCAACUAGAACAUGAUCAUCAGAAUUUCCUAGUUUACAGUUGAAUUCAAUAGGAGUGUUAGCAGGACGACAUCCCAACAUACCUGUUGCGGUAAGAAAUUCAAGGGUGUAUUUUCUCUGAGACACGGAGAUGCCUUCUUUAGAUGUUCCCACCUCCAUUCUAAGGAAAUAUUUCAGAUUUUCCAAAUUCUUGAUUUCAAAUUCAUUCUUGAUUUCAAAUUCAUCACCCAUUCUCUGCUUUAGUUUAUUGAUUUCUGCCUGAUCAUCUUCAGAAAAAAUAAUGUCAUCUACAUAAACUAUCAGAACUUCAAUCUUUCCUGCUUGGAAACCUUUGUAAAUAAAGUAUGAUUAGAAUUCCCCUGACUCCACCCUUGGGACUUGACAAAAGUAGUGAACUUGUCAAACCAUGCUCUGGAUGACUGUUUCAAACCAUAUAGGGAUUUCUGGAGUUUACAUACCUGCUUGAGGAAUUGGAAGCAGGAAUUGGGCUGGUUGCCAUGCUAAUGCAUAACAACAACCUGUAGCCUUUUUCAGUCAUAAACUUUCCCCUUAAGCUCGUCUGAAAUAUGUGUACGAAUGAGAACUUAUGGCGGUAGCAAUGGCUAUUUAAAAUGGAUACCAUAUCUGUUGGACCAACCUUUCAUCCUCUGGACAGAUUAAAGUGCACUCAAGUUUUUAGUACAACAAAGAGUGAUCCAACCAGAAUAUCAGAAAUGGGUUUCCAAAUUGCUGGGAUAUGACUUCGAAAUUCAGUACCGACCAGGACCGAAAAACAAGGUCGCUGAUGCCCUUUCAUGAUUGCCGGAGGUUGCCCAUUUAGCGAAUUUAAGUGUCCCAUGCUUAGUUGACAUUAAGGUGGUUAAGGCCGAAGUGAUGAGAGAAAAACUGUUAACUGUAUGGAACCAACAGCAUGAGGAUCCCGAUUACAUUUCAAAAUUUUCAAUCCACCAUGAUACACUGCAGUACAAAGGCAGGUUAGUCUUAUCCUGAAAUUCUCAACUAAUUCCACCAAUAUUACACUUUUAUCAUGAUUAGGUAAUAGGUGGCUAUUCGGGGUUUCUACAAACAUUGGCAAGGGGAAUUAUAUUGGGAAGGCAUGAAGAGAGAUGUCAAGAGGUACGUGGAGCAGUGUACAGUGUGCCAAAAGAAUAAACAGAAGCUGUGAGUCCAACAGGGCUACUACAACCACUUCAAGUUCCUGAUCGAGUUUGGGACAAUAUGUCAAUGGAUUUUAUUGAAGGAUUUCCAUGGUCAGAAAAAGUUGAUUCCAUACUAGUAGUGGUGGGUCAGCUUAGCAAAUAUGGGCAUUUCUUAUCUCUCAAGCAUCCUAGUAUGACAAAGACUGGCUGAUAAAUUUAUCAAGGGAGUAGUCAAGCACCCUGGCUUUCCAUGAUCCUUUGUGACAGAUUGAGAUAAGAUCUUCUUGAGCCAUUUCUGGACAUAACUGUUUAAAUCACAAGGCACUCGCCUUUGUCGAAGCACAACUUACCACCCUCAGACGAACGCUCAAACAGAGAUUGUAAACAAAGGGCUAGAAACAUACUUGCAUUGCUUUUGUAGUGAGAAACCAAAACAGUGGGCUUUGUGGCUACAUUAGGCAGAAUACUUUUACAAUACCACGUAUCAUGAAUUGAUCAAGAUGAUGUUGGACCCCCUAUCAUUCACACAUACAAACAUAGGGGCAGAAAAGGUAAUAACCAGGGGCAGCUUAACCUAUUAGGUUUAUGGAAGGAAUAUUCUGAUGUGGCACCGACGGGUAUUCUGAUGUGGGACCAAGUAUCUCAACUAGUAUCAUGAAGAACGAAACUUGUCCAGAGUCUCAUAGUAUUUUGUCCAGAGCUUGUUAUUUUUACUUCAUUGGAAUGGUUUUGUAUUGGUUUGUUUGUUGUACUAGCUCUGGGUACCUGAACUUUAAAAGUUUUUGUAUUCUCUUUGUAUGUUGGUUUAUUUUGGAUGUGAUGAAGGUGCUAGGGGGUGUCAUUCUAGUUGAGAUACUUGGAUGCACCUGCUGAUCCUACCUUGUAAUUUGUCCUUUGUACACUGUACAUAGUCUUUAUCUCUUUCCGUUAUUUCAAACAAAAGUGCAUUUCCUUUUUUUUCCUUUUUUCUUUUUGUAAUAGACCUCUUCUCUUCAUAGAGUUGCACAUAUUAGUAUAGAACAAUAUGUUCUUUCUUAUCCUCUCUACUCUAAAAAAUUAUCAUUUACGCUAAUACUUCUUCACUUGCAGGAUAUCAAAGAUGAUUACCAUAAUCUUCUAUCUGUACUUGACGUGAAUGACCAAGUCGAAAAUAAAGAUACUCUGAAGACCAAUGGCGAUGAUAACAUCAGCAAACUUAAGGAGAGAUUAUCAUAUCAUAUUGCAUAUAUUAGCACUUCUAGAUUUGUUGAGUAUUGGGUUCCUGCACGGAUAUCAAAUGUGCAACUUGAGCUUUAUUGUGCCGCCCUACUUUCUAACUCUGGAUUGCUUUGCUCAUCAUUCAAAAGUGAUCUGCUUGACAACAUCCAUGAUCUGCUCAUUUCAACUAGGAAGGUUAAUUCUUGAACUCUGGCACCAUUUCUCACUUGAUGAACCUUUAAAAACAUCCAUUUUAAUGUCUUCCACAAUUUUUAAGUUGUGGACACUUAUUGUUUCUCAUCAAAAUUAAAUUGCUUUAUGUCACUUGAGCUUUGUAUCUUGUAGAGCGUUAUUAAUUUCUUUGUUUCAAUGGAAAAAAAUCUUUAUUAUGAUACAUAAAAUAAAUAUCGACAAAAUGAACCAAACUGAAAGAAGGAAUAAAGAGUAAUUGAUGUAUCACCAAGUAGUAAUUUUAUUCAAAUGAUCAAAGUUUUAGAAAUACAAGAGAAGGUUCUGUUUAUAGGUAACUUAGGAUAACUAAAAGGGAUUAGAAUGUAACUAAUCUAGGAUUAAUUAAUAUUAAUUUUGAAUUAUAAUUUACCCAAAUCCUAUUACAUCAGUAAUUGAACCCCAAAUUUAAAAUGAAGAAAAAAAGUUGCUUGAGGGCUAACGUAGAUAACAGAAGGCUAAGGGAGAAUGAUAAUAAUUCAUGUUGGCUUAUGUACCUAAGAUUUAAUAUUCUAGAGUUUGUUUGGAAACUAAAUAUAGUAGAGUUUGGCAGUUAUUCUGGAAAAGUAGUUAGAGCUGCCAGAGACUCAUGGAUAAAAAAUGAAAAAUAAAAUUUUCAAACUAAAUUUGAACUAAGAGAUCAAAGAAUUGUGCAUGACACUCUAGAUACGGAAGGAUGUUAAAUUACCCAUCAACUCAAUAGCUUAAGUUGAUGGGUUAACAUAAAUUUAAUAUUUUAUCAAUACUGUAACACUCUGCUCAUUGAUUGAAACUUUGUUAAUUGCUAUAAAGUGAAAUUCAAUAUUUACCAGGAAAAAAUGAGCAUUAGUCUCUUUUCAUUUCCUCAAGUUUUGUUCCUUCCAAAUAGAACUGUUGAAGAAUUUUCUCACAGUGAAUUUUCUUACACAUGCAUAUUGUCAGUAAUUAGGGAUUAAUGAAAGUUGUUAGUUGUUGAUUCUACACAAAAAUUUGUUUAUAAACUGUAACGACUAAGUUGUUAUGUAUCAUAAGUUGAAAUUUAACUUUGCCAAAGUGUUAGCAAUCAAAAGGUCUGUGAUUCAAAUCCCCUACUCCUAUUGUAUUAAAAAGUUGAAGUCUAAUUUUGAUAAUAUUUACCAAGAUAGUGACUACAUUGUUAUGAAUUUUAAAGUUCCAAGGACUAAAUUGUUACUUCUCUUGGAAGUUUAGUGCCCAAAAGUAUUUUUGAACCUGCCUAGAAUUGGUUUGAUAUUUCUGAGGAGAAAGGAAGAAAUGGCUUAAUGUUUUUUUUUUUUUUUGACAGUGUUGUAAUCAUCCUUAUAUUGUGGAUUCUUCAAUGGGACAUGUGAUCACGAAGGGGCAUCCAGAAGUGGAGUAUUUGGGUAUUGGAAUAAAAGCAAGUGGUAAGUUACAACUUCUUGAUGCAAUGCUAAAGGAGAUGAAAAAAAAGGGCUCAAGGGUCCUAAUUCUUUUCCAGGUAUGUCCUGUGGUCGAAUUGGUAAUUUUUUUUUUUGAGGUUCAUAGAUUGAGAUAGGUUGUUUUCAUUGAGGGAUGAAAAGUGUUGUUAAUACUAAUUUUUAAAAAAGCUUGUGAACUUGGCACUGCACUUACCUUACUUUUUUUCCUGCAUUGAAAAGAAGCUAACAAAUUACAAUGAGACAUAGAAAGCAAAAAAAAAACAAAGAAACAACUACAACCAAAUAAAGGCCAUUGAUUAUGGCUUUUACCGGAAAAAUAAAGCAAGUACAAACAAAAACAACCUAAAAUGGAACAAAAUGGCUCUUUGAACGACACUCCAAACACCACUUCAACAAUGAAGAAGCACCAUGUGAUGAGACUUCGAGAGUUUUUAAAAUUUCAUGUUUUUGUUGCAUAAAGGUUUUGGAUUUUAAAUUUUAAAUUCAGAAUUAUACUAAAUAGAAAUAAAAACACCACUCCCAAAACCCAAUUCUCCUACUAUUUCCUACGUUAAACACAGCCAACACUUCCACUUUCCUCCAGGGUCUCCAGAUGGCAAUUUAAAUGAUCUUGCCCAUGAAUACUACUAAUUACCUGUUGCCAAAGUGAGUUUUUCUCAUUAAAAUAUCUCCAGCCCCAUUUAGCAAGUACUACCCCAUGCGUUAGUCCAAGACCUUUGCAAAAAAAUAAAAAAUGAAAACGUAUUAUAAAUUAUAUAAUGUUGUAAAAUAAUAAUUAUUCAAUUGCUUUUAACAUAAAACAUGGUCUUAGAUAAAUUAAUAAUAGUUUAUUGUCAACUAAUAUUUAGUGGGGAACUACAACUAAUUUUAUGAUUUAUAAAUAUAGUAUCAAACGCAUUUUAAACAAUUGUUUAAAUUCAAAUCUAUCUUCUGAAUAUUCUACCAAACACAAACUUGAAGACAUGAAAUACAACACUAUUUUCAUUAAAUCCCUUGUUUUCAAAUUUCUGUUUUUAGAUUUCAUACCAAAAAAUCAUAACCUUUCCCACUAACUGCUUAUAUCUUUUGCGAUCGUUCAACAGUUCCCCCUCUAUUGUGAUCUUUGAACAAUUCCCCUUCUUUUGAGUUGGAAGUAUUUCAAUAUUUCUAAAUCCUAUGGAGAAAUGUCUUGAUUGGUUGGACAUCUAACGAAUUUAUGUAAGUUAGCUCCUUACUUGAAGAUAUUAUUGAAGGGAAAUCUUGCCCUAAGGCAAUACAACCUCCCUUCUCUCUUAUGAGAAGCUUCUACUAAACCAAAAGCUGAAAAUGAAAUACCUUCCCCUCAAUGUUAUAAUACCUCCCUACCCAAAGGAUGCUCUCCAGUUCACUCUGGACCCCACAUCCCAACAUUCCUCUAACGUCCCUCACUCCCACAAAAUAAAUAACACUCUCCCUCAAUUACUUUUCUAUGCCUUCUAUCUCUCUCUCUUUGAAACAGAAACAUAGUUUUUCAUUGAAUUAAUGAAAAGAAAACAGUUUCAUUAUUUCCAUUUCAAAAAAGGAAAAAAAAAAAAAAAAAAAAAAAGAAAAAACGAAAACCCUUAAACUUUAAAGUACAGUUCAAAAUAUCCUUGUCCUUGGUUUUGAAUGGAAACCAUUAGUGUUGUGUAUAAUUUAGCCUGUUAUUUAAUAAUUUUAAUGUAAAUUUCUACCUUAAACAUCAAAAGAACGUUCAUACGAACAUCUAUACAAUCAAUUCAAACAUAAGGAGCAAUAUAUGGAAAACUGAGAAAAAAUGAGCCAAAAUUUUUGAGAGGCUGUAAAACAGAAAAUACAGUUGUUGCAUCAUGCAUGCUAGUGCCUGUGGUUGAUGUUUAGUGCGUGCAAACAGCAAGGAAGUCUUGUUGCUGAAGUUGGAUGGAUAUUGCUGAAACAACAGUAGUGAAUUUUUUUUUUCUUUUUCUUAUUUUUUUUCCCAUUUUCAUAUCUUUACUUGAAAGGUAAUGUGUCGGUGUUUGACAUCGACACUUGGGCAUUUACACCUGCCUGUUCUUUAUAAUUGAUACAUCAUGUUUUCUAGCAUUUUAGUGUACCUUGAAAUGGAUAGAAUUUUAUUGUAUGUAAUGAAAUUGUUAUUUUUAGUCUAAAGUCGUGCUUAAAUCGACAUUUUGUUUUAAAUUUUCUCUCUCCCUCCUACUGUUUUUAUCUGUGGAUUUGUGAAGCAGUGAAAUGUAUUUAUAUUUUUGUGAGGAAUUUUUACGUGGCAAUUGCAGUCAAUUAGUGGCUCUGGAAGAGACACCAUUGGUGAUAUUUUGGAUGACUUUUUACGUCAGAGGUUUGGGCCUGAUUCUUAUGAACGCAUUGACGGGGGUCUUAUUUAUUCCAAGAAGCAAGCUGCUCUGAACAAAUUUAACAACCUAGAGAGUGGAAGAUUUUUGUUUCUGCUAGAAGUUCGAGCGUGCCUCCCCAGUAUUAAACUUUCGUCAAUUGAUAGCAUUGUCAUUUAUGAUAGUGACUGGACCCCGAUGAAUGAUUUAAGAGCCCUUCAAAGAAUUACACUAGAUUCUCAUUUGGACCAAAUAAAAAUUUUCCGUUUAUAUACAUCUUGUACCGUUGAGGAAAAGGUUCUUAUGCUGUCCUUGGAAAAUAAAACUUUGGACGGCAAUUUACAGAACAUCAGCUGGAGUUGUGCUAAUAUGCUGCUUAUGUGGGGAGCAUCUGAUUUACUCGCCGAUUUAGAGAAGUUUCAUGGCAAAGAAAAAACUGAAGAUGCUUUGUCAGAUUCAACACUUUUGGAAGAGGUGGUAAAUGAUUUAAUAUUACUUAUUUCACAAAAUGGUAGAAGCACAGACAAGUAUGAUUCCCAUGUCAUAUUAGAAGUUCAACAGAUUGAAGGAGUGUAUUCUGCAUGCUCUCAACUUCCUGGUCAAUUAAAAAAGUUAUCGACUGAAGAAAUGCAACCCUUCAUAUUUUGGAGUCAGCUGCUAUGUGGAAAGCACCCAAAAUGGAAAUACUCUUCGGAUAGAUCUCUAAGAAACCGAAAAAGGGUUCAACAGACUGAUGAUUCCUUAAAUAAAUCUGAAUAUGAGAUUGAGGAAUCCGUGAGUAAACGUAAAAAGGUAUCAAAUAACAAUGUGAAAGUUGCUCAAGAGGAAAACUUUACACACAAGGAAAAGGAAGGUAUGAGUAUUUUAAAUCUUACACUUUCUAGAGGUUACUUUGCAGCUUUACUGUUUUUCCUGUCUUACUUUACUCUUGUCAGUCAGUAUUCUUAAACUUCUUUCUGUGUGCAGGUACUUCUAAAGCUCCGAAACAUACAUGUCAAAAUUCAACUAGUUUGGCUGCAUGUGAGGAUGAUUCAUACAUUGAGAAUCAUCUCUCCACCUCGUCUUUGAUAGCAAAUGAUAUCUUGAAAAUUCUUAAAUAUAAGUCAGUUGGAUUUGAUGAAAUAAGAAAGCUGACCGAUCUGCGAAAGAGUCUCCAUUGUCUUUUAAAGCCUGAAAUAUCACAAUUAUGCAAGAUUUUGAAACUUCCGGUAUGGAUAUCAUUGCCUUAUUUAUUUGUCUUAACCUAUCUAUGCAUUUUUUAUUUUUAUGAUUGUUGACCCUCUUCAAGAUCUCGUUGCCUUAUUUAUUUGUCUAAACCUAUCUAUGCAUUUUUUAUUUUUAUGAUUACUGACCCUCUUCAAGAUAGUGUCUUUUCCUUCAGCAGCCUAGAGACAUCAAUAAAUAUAGUUUGAUAGUUUGAUCAGGUGGUGUAUGUCCUAUGGGUUUCCUUGACACUGGAAUGUUGUAGGGUUAAGUGGGUUGUCCCGUGAAAUUAGUCAAGGUGCGCAUAAGCUGGCCUGAUACCCAUGGAUAUAAAAAAAAAAAGGAAAUAUAUAGUUUGAUCAAGGUUAAUAUUGUACUUUACAUGUUAGAUGGCUAGUUCCAUUGAUAUUGCUGUUAAUUGAUUAAUUUGCUGUACCAUCAUGUUAAUUAAUGAAAAGAGAUCUAUGAUUAAACGUACAAAGUCUCGGUGCGAUGGAGACCAAAAACUAAGUUACUGAAAAGUAAAGGCUUCUCAAUUCAUAUUGUUGAGAUGGUGAGAGUCUCACAUUGAAAAAACCAAGAAGACUCACACUCCUUAUAAGAUAGAUGGGUUACUCCUUCCAUUGCCAAUUGGUUUUGAGAUGGAAUUCCUUACUAUCGAACAUGGUAUCAGAGUCCAUUAAGCCCAGACGGGUAUUCGGUUAAAGAUCGGUGAACCCAAAAGAGGCACCGUGUUGAGGGGCAUGUUGAGAUGUUGAAAGUCUCACAUUGAAAAAUCAAGGCGAUUCACACUUCUUAAAAGAUAGGUGGGCUGCCCCUUUCAUUACCAACUGGUUUUGAGAUGGAACCCCAUACUAUCAAUAUUUCUUUAGCAUCAAUAAGCUUUCAGUUUAGUCACCUGGAAUCUAUCAUGCUAAUGUUGAUGAUCUUUCUAAACAAUUAUUUUUUUUAAAUAAUAACUCUUUGAUCACCAAUUGACCCAAAAACUUAGGUGGAUGGUUGAAGGCAAAUUUAAUAUUAAAUAUUUCAAUGAUCCGCUUCACUUGUAGGCUUGAAAUAUGUAGAAGACUUAAUAAGUGGAAAUCAAUUUUAACUAGAGAGGAAAAAACAUUGUAAGGGUUUGAACACUAGACCUCUUUGGACCACCUGCUCUAAUAUCAUUUUAAACUACUGAUUAACUUAAUCUGAUAGGUGAAAUGAAAGGUGGAGUGAAAACAGAUUUAGUAUAACAAAUUUUAACUUCCUUGACUCAUAAGUCAAGUGUGAAACUGAAUAGCAAAUAGCAAUAAGCAACCAACCACUAUGUUAACAUUGGCAAUGUAAAGUUGGAAUGGGUUCAAGCCAUGAUGAAGGAUGGUUGUUUGAGCUAUUUUAUAAUAUGUUGCAUCUCGAAAUCAAUUGACAACGAGAAGAGUAGCUCAUCAAUCUCAUAAGGAGUGUCAGAUUAGAACAAUUUGAUAAAUUCAAAUAAUCUUGGUUAAUCCUUUAUUAGUUACAUUUUAGUUACCCAAUUAGUUUUUAGUUUCCUUUUAGUUGUCCUUUUAGGAUUUUAUAAUUCUCUAUAAAUACAGAGUCCCUCUUGUAUUACAUAAUUUUUCAUUGAUAAUAAAGACUUCGAUUGGAUUCUUGGAGAGAAUUCUCCUUUUAUCUAUUUAGGCUACAUCAAAUUUAUAUCAGAGGGGCCGUCUAGGCCAACGUUGACUGUUGUCGAUGGAAGACUGGAAACUCUCGUUGACGCCGAUCAUGAGAGGGAGCUUUGAGUGUUGUGCUUGUUGCCAAACAACACACAUCUAAUUAGGGGGAACCUUUGAAAUUCCAAGAAAGAAAAGAUAUAACCAAAGAUUUUUCAAGAUUUUGCAAGAAUAGAGUAUUACCGAUUAAAAAUGUCCAUGAAAAAUAUUCAGCAAUUGGUAUAGAAUUCUAAUGCAAGUGAUUCAGAAGAGGAAUUCCAACGUAAUAAUUUUACCCAUGCUCGAUCUCUUCAAAUAACCUAUCAUUUUCCACAAUGGAAAUUUGAUUCGUGAUCCUAGUGACUAUGAUGACAUGUCUAAGAAAGUUUGGGAUGGAAUAUGAAGGCAAAAAUAUCAACAAAAGGCUCAACGAUUGAAUCAAACCAGUUUUUCAAGAAACCAACUAGCAAGUCUUCAAGAAUCUCAAGGAAUUCAAAAUUUUCCAGUAAGAAACCAACAUCGUAAUCAUCUCAUUAGAAUUAAUGAAAACCAAGAUUUGAAAGAGAUUUUGGACGUCAAUUACUGAAGAUAUUUGAUGGAAGAUUCAAAAUCUUCGGAUGUAGGCUUUGUACAGCAUCAUGAAAACUUGAAUAUGCCUUCGAAGAAGAAGAUAUUAUGAUCAAAGAACACCCCAAAAUCAUCCAACCACCAAUUUGGAGGUCGAAAGUUUUCAAGAAAAUCAAAAUAUUUUUGAAAGUUUUUAAAUAAAUCUAACUAUCAAAAUGAUUUUCGCUAGGGAAUGGAUGAAAUGUGGGUUCUUUUGGGAAAAAUUCAAGAAAGACAUGAUCAUAAUUUCAAGAUUUUUCAAGAAAUCAUCAAGAAUUACAUUUAGUUACUCAGGAAGAUCAAGAAUUCAUCCAAAUGGGAUUUGGAACUGUGCAAAUAAUGAACGAAGUGGAAUAAAAUAAAAACCAGUUGAAGACGAGUCAAAUGAGAAAAGUAUAAAGAUCGAGGAGGAGCUUGCAUUGGAAGAAAAAAUCAAUGGAUUCACAUGAGAGUUACUUAAUUUCCAACCAAAUGAGGAAGAACAAUCAAUCAAUGAAAUGCAGAAUGGAGUUGUUGAAGAAGACGAAAUCACUGCAAAGAAUGUGCCCAUUUGAUUACAUCAAUUAAAUGUAGCACACAACCAACCACUUACCUCCCUCGCAACAGAAUAAAGCAGAAAUUAAUCUUGGCCACCAAGAAAGACAACAAGGGAAUCAACAACACAAAUGGUAAGCAAGAAAGAUGUAUUGGUGAAGUAUCACAACAUUAGCAUGUUGGGGAAUGUGAGAAGAUCCUGUAGAGGUUCUACUAAAUAAUCAUUAAUACUUACACACACAAUGGCAAAACAGAGACAGCACUCUGCUACUCUUUAUUUAUGUAUUAGCCAAAAGAUUACACUCAUUACGAUAUUCAAAGAACAAGAUGAAACAAUAAAGAACUUACCCAGCUUCCUUCUACGGUAGCUGAAUACCCUACCCAGGCUACAGCAGCCGACUAAACAUCAGAAUAAUAAAACCUAUCUACCCCAUCCCGGAAAGACCUAUUUAUAUACCUCCCUCUUUCAUUCUUUCAUUCCUGCGCAUGGGCUCCACUUGCACAAUCCCUUUCCAUCAUUCUCUCAUCAUUAGCUGUUUUUCCAUUUACCUUUCUGCCCCUUCUUUUAUAGGUGUGGACGAUUGGGGGCCUUACAGAUCCCUUCCCCUGUGCCAUAUAUAUAUUGCGAUAUGUAAAAUAUCUGUGAGAUUGAAGAUAUUGCAAUAUGUAAAAUAUUUCUGAGGUUGAAGAUAUUGAGUGAAGUCGUAUCUUUGACAUUGACUACUAUUAAACCACCAAUUCCUCCAAAAGCUUAAGCUUGUGGUUGAAGGAAAAUUUAAUUAUAUAUCAUUAACACUUCCCUUCACUUGUGGGCUUGAAAUAUUUGAAAGGUCCAACAAGUGGAAAUCAAUUUUAAUUGGGAAGGAAACAAAAAUAUAGGAGCUUAAUAAACAUAGGACCUUCCUUGACUACCGCUUUGAUACCAUAUUAAACCACCAAUUCACCCAAAAACUUAAGUUUGUGGUUGAAGACAAAUUUAAUUAUAUAUCUUUUUUUGAAAAGUAGACGAACUUCUUUAUCAAUGAUAAAAUCUCAAAGUACAAGAGGUAUAUACAUUGAGAAAAAUAAAGAAGCAUAAAGCAAAAAGCUCUAGGGGGAUCAGAAGGUGCACCCAGACAUUUCAACUAGGUUGACACCCCCUUAGCACCAAAACAUUAUAUCCCAUAAGAAAGCAUGAACUAAGCAAAGAAAAUAAAAUUAGAAAGUCCAGCAAAUUAACAUAGGCCAAGACUAGGAAAGAAGACUAAAAAGAUGAUGUAAAAACAGAAACAAAAAUACAGCUUCCGAGAGAUACAAAAUUGAGGCUGGAAACAAUGCUAGACGAAAAUUAAGAGGUUGGAUGGGAUAGGAAAACUGCCCAAUUGAGAUAAAUAUCUUGAAUAGAGUAAGCCUCGAACUCCUAUUUUAAGAAAACCCAAGCUGCUGCACUUCUUUCUGCAGAGAGGAUUUCUGAACAUGUUUUUUUUGUCAUGGAAUAUCCUCUGAUUUCUUUCACAAUUCGGAGAGGAUAGCUUUUAGCAAAUUUAACCAUAAUCGUCUUGGCUUCUGAGAGAACAGAGGACCCUCUAGAAGCUGGAGAAUCAAGGAGCGAAGAGAGCCAAAAAAAACCCAAACAAUGUUGAGCUGAAGUCUCGUUAGCUUUCAAACAGAGGGGGCAAACUGAGGGAAGAAAGCACUUGUUGGGGGCCUUCUUUUGAAGUAUAUCAGCCCUGUUGAGGGAACCAAAAAUCAUCACCCAAAUCAGAAUAUUAACUCUCCAGGGGCUGGAGGACUUCCAUAAGGCUUUAAAUAAACGAUUAUCCAUCGGGCAAACUAAAUGCAAAUGGGCCGAGAGAGUGAUAGAACCCGACCUUCUCAGUUUGCAAUGGAAAAAGGAUACAAUAUAGGAAAUAUUGCUGCUAAUGAAAAAUACAGAAGAAAAUAAAAUGCUCUCCGUCGAGGACUCCCUCUCUCCCUCAGCUGCCUUCCUAUCUCUCAAGGAAUAACAGUAGGAUUCUUUACAACCAAAAUUCUCUGCCCUCUCCCUUCCUUCUCGUCUCUAUUUAUAUUUGCUCCCUCACUCCCCUACCAUGGUCCCCGUUAGGGGAUCGUGCGUCGACACUCCAUUUCCUUGUGGUCCCCACCUGCAGUUGGUUACAUAACCAACUCCUCGUCCUUUUUCUCUUUCCUGUUCUUUCUCCUACUAUACUGGUGUAUGAUGGGUGGUCUAACAGAGAGAUUUAACCGUAAAACAGCCAUGGGAUCAAUAGACCAAACCUUGGGAUCUUCUAAAUCAAGAACUUGUACAUCUGAGAGGAGGAGGAGUAAUGAUUCAAAUUCAACAAUUUCAGCAUCUUUUAAACUUCUUCUAAAUGUUAGGGACCAAGAGAGGGUAGCAAAAUCCCAAUGAUUGGCAACCAAGCCUUGGGGAAGUAAGGCUAUUUUGUAAAGUAGGGAAAAAAGGCCUUUGAGAGAUAAGGUUCCAACCCAUGUCUGCCUCAAAACUUGUUCUACUACCAUUACUAAGUUUAUUUAAUGCUAGAGAUUCCACUAACGUCCACACCUUUGAGAUGCUAAUCCAUGGGCUCCUUAAACUAUUUUCGGACUUUCCCAUUGUGAAUCAAUCAAAAGGCUCUUUACCGUGGAUGCUACAAAUAAUUUUCUCCAAAAGGCAGAAUCUUCCAUAGCAAAUCUCCAGCCCCAUUUUGCUAGGAAGGCAGAAUUAUGAAUUUUGAGGCCUCCAAGGCUGAGACCCCUACCCUUUAAGGGAAGAGAAACCAAGUUUCAUUUGACAAGAUGGUUAAGCUUGCUACCGGAAUAACCUUCCCAAAAGAAAUUUCUUGUGAUUUUUUUCAAGGAGACUGCCACGUUUUGAGGGAUAGCGAACAAGGAUAGGUAGUAAAUUGGGAGGCUAGCCAAGACUGUAUUGCACAAAAUUUGCCUUCCUCCUCUUGAGAUGUUAAAGCGCUUACAUCUGUCUAAUUUCUUAUGAAUACAAUCGAUGACAGGUUGCCAGAACUCUUGACGCCGAGGAUAGCCUCCUAAAGGGAGACCUAAGUAUACAAUAGGUAAAUUUUCUGCCUUACAGCCAAUUCGGUCAGCGGUUUGCAGUAGGAUGUCCUCGGGUAUAUUAACUCCACUGAGAGCUGAUUUUUCCCAAUUAACUUUGUGCCCCGGACACCAUUCGUAGAGUCUAAUAGCUUCCUUAAGCUUGAGAGGCAUUUGAUCAUCAAAUUUGCAGAAAAGAAUGAGUAUCAUCAGCAAAUUGCAGCAAGGGGAGGUGUAUCAAAUCCUUGCCCACAAGGAAGCCCUCAUACUGACCACUACUAAGGUGAAGCUUGUUGAUGAUAGCUCCUAAAACCUCACUUAUGAGGAGAAAAAGGAAGGGCGAAAGGGGGUCCCCUUGACAGAUACCUCUAGAAACAGUUAUGCGGCCCCUUGACCUACCAUCGAUGAAGAUGGAGAAUUUAGGAUUCGACAAACAGCCCAGCAUCCAUGCUGUCCAUUUGGAUAUUUUGAUUAUUAAUUUCAGACAUUGGCAAAACCUCCUCUUGUUGCUCUUUUUCCAAUUUUUUAUAGACUAUUCAAGUCAUUAGUUUAAGUUAGAGUGCUUUGUUUCUUCCUCUUCUAUUGGUUAGUAUGUAGUCUAUUGCUAAGUGUUUGCAUUUUACUUGAUUUUAUCUCUUGUUGGUUAUUUAUAUUCUCUUUUAUUUUAUUUUGAGCAUUAGUUUCAUUUCAUUAUUUGAAUGAAGAGGCUUGUUUCCAUUUACUUUUUUUUUUAAAAAAAAUUAAUAUAUUUUCUAUAAAAAAAGACAUUGGUAAUGUAUUGUAAGACCCUCUCUGUCUUACUUUCUUAUUGAUCACCUACUUCUAUCUCUACCAAAACUGACCUCGUCAAAAAGUUUAAUAUGUUUGUUCCUGACAUGCCUAAGAGCAUUCUAUGCGUAGAAAAUGUAAGCACCUUUAGGUAUUUUAUAUGUUGGCGUAUGAGUUCCGUUUGGUAUUUUUAUGUUGACAUUUAAUAAUUCUAUGUUGGCUCUGCUGGAACAACCAUUGACAUAUCUUGUUGCUUUGUAGGAGCAUGUCAAAGAUGAGGCUGAAAAGUUCUUUGAGUAUGUAAUGGAUAGUCAUCACAUCUUAACAGAACCAGCAACAACUACAUUACUCCAGGCUUUUCAGCUAUCUCUGGUUAUUUUCAUCCUCUCAUUUACUCUGUCAUUUUAUUGUUAUUUCAUUUGACAAUGUGAGACCAAAAAAUGAGAGAAAACCCCACAUUAACGGAGGAAAAACAUUUUAUAAAAUUUAUGUAUAGAUUGUGUUGUGGAGGGUAUAACAAACAGUGUUAAAGUGAUCAAGACGCUCAUCAUGGUUCUUGCUAUAAAUUAGUAUGUAAUUAAAGUAAAUUACAAUGAAUUUAUUCAAGGAUGGUUGAAGAACUUUGUUCAUUAAAUGUUCAAUGCCUCCAAGUUGGUCAAAUAAAUCUGAUAGCUAGGAAUGAGAAAUCAAGAUUUAGUUGUAUGUUUUUUUUAUUUUAUUUUGAGUAAGAAGUGUUUGAACGACCAAUGGCUUAAACUUGAUUAAAUAUGUCCUUUGUCAAGUUAGGAUUCUCAUUCUUGUAAUACUUUGUAUUCUUUUGACGCUCAUCUGAUAGUGGGGAAUUUGGUAAAAUAGCUACAGAAACCAAACCAAGCUGGUGUUGUCUGUCACGCAGUGGUGGUAGUGAAUUAGGUUCUUGUACAAAAUGUAAAAAGUGAAUCCAGGAUAUUAAAGUUCUCACUGAAAGAAUCCCAUUCUUGAGGAGCUUUUCAAUCUCUAUUUAUUCUCUAUUGAUGAAUUACGGAUAAUUUUCCUCUUGAUUUUUCACUUGCUUUGUUUUGGCUAGUUCUAUGUUUCUAAUUGGUGAGUGUAGCUGAUCUAACCCAAGUUCAAUCCUUUCAAGUUAAGCUGUCAUUGUAGCCAUGAAAUUUGGAUCAUUGUUGAGUUCCACAGUUUUCCUAGAUUGCUUUUGAUCCUCUACUGACUUCCAUUAAUACGUAUCAAAGAGUUCAAGUUCUUAAUAAAUCCUUUUUGAGUAAAUGCUAACUUAAAUUAUGGUCUAUCCAUGUUUGUGGGUGCCUCAAUGUUGUCCAUCAUCAUUGGUCACUGCUCUGGUCCUCUGUCGAUUCUUUCCAACUUGCUCCUUGAAGUUCCAACCACGUCCUGCCUCUAUCUGACCUCUAUCCUUCCGUGGUUCGUUCAGAUCUAUCUGCAUUGUCCCAUUAUUUUUGCAUUGUCGCAUCGUUCCAGUCGUGCAAAAUCCUGUCAUCCUCAGACCCAAUGUGCACAACUUCGUUGUCCAUAAAAUCUUCUACAAAAUGAACCCUCUGAUGUCUAGGUCCAUGCUUUCGCUAUAGGUUUCUUCGUUCAUUUCACCCCAUAUCCCUAUCCUGUGCUUCUCAGACUGGCUUCUUUCAGAUCCCCGUCUGGUGUUGCCCAACCCACCUGUGUCUGUAUUUCAUAUGUGCGAAGUGAGGCUUCAGAUAUGAAAUUCUAGACCAAUUAGACUUCGGUAUUCUGAAAGUGAGACUAGUUCUGGCAGUACAAAUCUUUCUUUCUUUGUAAGCAUUUGGACCAUACACAUUAGUAAUCCAACAGGAUCUUUUGCAAGCCGUGAUGCAAUUGACCUUAGCUUUCUCAUAUCCAACCUAAGUGUUUCAACCACUCUUAUCUUUCUCAUAUCCAGAAUGCCCAAAGGAUUCGACAAACUCCCACCCGAUGUCCUUGGAGCUCCAUAGGACCGAUA
This 52826-nucleotide long non-coding RNA is filed under the name Cucumis sativus (cucumber). Its description in RNAcentral is "long non-coding RNA (CSAT_LNC000131)". Lineage: Eukaryota; Viridiplantae; Streptophyta; Magnoliopsida; Cucurbitales; Cucurbitaceae. The record is from RNAcentral.